RNAcentral lists this long non-coding RNA (65639 nucleotides) under Hordeum vulgare. RNAcentral describes it as "long non-coding RNA (HVUL_LNC003853)". The record is from RNAcentral. Lineage: Eukaryota; Viridiplantae; Streptophyta; Magnoliopsida; Poales; Poaceae.
UUGAGGAAGGUAUAUGGUGGGUUUGUGCACCGACGAAAGUUGUGCGACACUAGAGAGGCUAGCAAUGGUGGAUGGUGAGAGUGCAUCUAUACCAUGGACUCACAUUAGUCAUGAAGAACUCAUAUACGUAUUGCAAAAGUUUUAUUAGUAAUCGAAAGAAAGUGCUAAACGCAUACUCCUAGGGGAAGGGUUGGUAGGUGUUAACCAACGCACGAUCCCGACCGCCACACAAAGGAUGACAAUCAAUAAAUCAAUUAUGCUCCGACUUCCUAACAUAGCGGUUCACCAUACGUGCAUGCUUCGGGAAUCACUAACCUCAACACAAGUAUUUCGAGAUUCACAAAACACUACAUAUAUGACUCUAAUAUUACUGUAUCCAUAUCUAAAAACUAAUUGUGAGGAAUCAAACUUCUCUUACUAAUCAAUGCACUUGAAUAUGAAAGUUUUUAUUAUAUCCUCUUUGGACGCCUAUCAUAUUUAGGACUAAUUUCAUAACACACGCCAAUUACCAAGUUACUUUGAGAGAGCACUCUCAAAAUGAUAUAAGUGAAGAUCAAGAGUUUUAAUAACAAAUUCACGAUGAGUGCAUGUCCCUCUCAAAAAGGUGUGCAGCAAGGAUGAUUGUGACAAAACAAAAAAGCAAAACUCCUAUGAUACAAGACGCUCCAAGCAAAAACACAUAACAUGUGGUGAAUAAAAAUAUAGCUCCAAGUAACGUUACCGAUGGAUUGAAGACGAAAGAGGGGAUGCCUUCCCGGGGCAUCCCCAAGCUUAGGGUUUUUGGUGCCCCUGAAUUUGGCUUGGGAUGACUUGAGCAUCCCCAAGCUUAGGCUCUUUCCACUCUUUAUUUCAUUGUCCAUAAGAACAUAACCCAAAACAUGAAAACUUCACAACACAAAACUUUUUAGGUACUGUAGUAAACUUAAUUUCCAUUUAGCAUAAGAAAACAAACCACCAACUUUUUAGGUAUUGUAGUAAACUUAAUUUCCAUUUAAAUUGAUGUUAUAUUACUGUAUUCUCACUUUUCCAUGGCUCCUACCCCCCGAUACUAACCAUAGUUUCAUCAAAAUAAUUAAUCAACACAAAAAAACAGAAUCUAUCAAAAACAGAACAGUCUGUGGCAAUCUGUAUAUUUGGUAUACCUCUGCUAUCCCCAAAAUUCUGAAAAAUUAUGACAAUUAGGGAAAUUUGCAUAUCAAUCAGAACCAAAAAUAAUCAACUCAAAAUCUCUUUCUGGAUAGGAAUUAUAAAUAAUUUCGUGAGCAGAAAGUUUCUGUCUUUUUUAGCAUGAUUAAACAACUAUCACCAAAACUAAUCAUAAAGGUUCUACUUGGCACAAACACUAAUUAAAACAUAAAACACACAAUCAUAAUAUAAUCAUGAUGGUGUGGACUCAACAAAACAGAACGUGAAAAGAAAAAAUAAAUUUAUUCAUUGGGUUGCCUCCCAACAAGCGCUAUCGUUUAACGCCCUUAGCUAGGCAUAAGGCAAUAGAAUCAAGUAUCGUCAUCUUUAGUGCUCAAACCAUAAGUAGGUCUCAUAAUGUAUUCAUAAGACAAACUUAUUUUAUUUCUAGGUAAGUGUUCCAUGCCCUUCUUUAAUGUAAAUUGAAAUUUAAUAUUCCCUUCCUUCAUAUCAAUAACAGCACCAAUAGUCCUAAGAAAAGGUCUACUAAGAAUAAUGGGACAUGUCGGAUUGCAAUCGAUAUCAAGCACAAUGAAAUCUACGGGCACAUAGUUCAUAUUUGCAAUAAUAAGAACAUCAUUGAUCCUUCCCAUAGGUUUCUUAAUAGUAGAAUCCGCAAUAUGCAAAUUAAGAGAGCACUUAUCAAUCUCAUUGAAACUUAGAACAUCACAUAAAGAUUUUGGAAUUGUGGAAACACUAGCACCCAAAUCACAUAAAGCAUAUCAUUCAUAAUUUUUAAUCUUGAUUAGUAUAGUAAAUUCCCACUCGUCAUGAAUUUUUCUAGGAAUAUAUAUUUCCAACUCAAGUUUCUCAUCAAGAGACUUCAUCAUAGCAUCAACGAUAUGAUUGGUAAAAGCCUUAUUCUGGCUAUAAGCACGUGGAGAGUUUAGCAUGGAUUGCAUCAAGGUAAUACAUUCAAUCAAAGAGCAACUAUCAUAAUUAAAUUCCUUGAAAUCCAAAGUACUAAUUUCAUCACUAUUCAAAGUUUUGAUAUCCUCUACUCCACUUAUAGUAUUUUUAGCAUCAAGAUAAAUAGACUCUGAAUCAUUGGGGCAUUUCUGAACCAAAGUGGAUUCACAUCUAGCCCCAUCAUAAUUAGGAUUGACAUUAGAAAACAAGGAUUCAAUUGGAGUCACACCAAACACUUUAAGAUCUUCGUGAUUCUCAUCACGAGAACACGCCCUUUUAAGCCAUUCAUGUCUAGCACAAAUUUGGGCGAUUCUUUCUUUACUCUCAUUCAUAGGAAUCAUUUCAAAGUUUCAUCCAUAUUAAUCUUGGGACGAACACAUCUCGAUUUCAAAGCUUCAAUAUCAAGAGACAUUCUAUCAACAGUCCUAGCCAAGUCAUCAAUUUUCAGCAGUUUUUCUUCUAUGGAAGCAUUGAAAAUGUUUUGCGAAGUAAUAAACUCUUUAAUAUUACUCUCAAGAUCAGAGGGUAUUUUAUUAUAAUUUCCAUGAGCGUUGUUGUAGGAAUUGCCAAAAUUAUUAGAGGGAUUACUAGGAAAAGGCCUAGGAUUAAAGUUACCUCUAUAAGCAUUGUUGUUGCCAAAAUUAUUCCUACCAAGAAAAUUAACAUCCAAAUUUUCAUUGCAAUUCUCAAUCAAGGAAGAUAAAGGCAUAUCAUUUGGAUCUAGACGAGCACUUUUACUAGCAAACAACUUCAUUAACUCAUCCAUCUUAGCACUGAAAGAGUUAAUUUCUUCUAUAGCAUGAACUUUUUUUACUAGUAGGUGACCUUUCAGUGUGCCAUUGAGAAUAAUUUGUCAUGAUAUUAUCUAGGAGUUUUGUGGCUUCUCCUAGUGUGAUUUCCAUAAAAGUUCCACCAGAGCCAGAUUCCAAGAUAUUUCUAGAAGCCAAAUUCAAACCAGCAUAGAAAAUUUGUAUAAUCAUCCAAAGACUCAGGCCAUGAGCUGGACAAUUUCUAAGCAUCAAUUUCAUUCUCUCCCAAGAUUGUGCAACAUGUUCAUGAUCUAGUUGCUUAAAAUUCAUGAUAUCUUUACGGAGAGAGAUAAUCUUAGCUGGUGGAAAAUACUUGGAAAUAAAGGCAUCUUUACACUUGUUCCAUGAAUCAACGCUAUUUUUGGGUAAAGAUGAAAACAAAGUUUUUGCUCGAUCUCGUAAUGAGAACGGAAAUAGCUUAAAUUUAAUCAUAUCAUUAUCCACAUAUUUCUUCUUUUGCAUAUCGCAUAACACAAUAAAGGUAUUGAGAUGGGAUGUGACAUCUUCACUAGGAAGGCCGUAAAAUUGCUCUUUCAUAACAAGAUUCAACAAGGCAGCAUUGAUUUCAUAUGAAUCCGCACUAGUGGCGGGAGCAAUUGAGUACUAAUAAAAUCAUUGUUAUUAGUAUUGGAGAAGUCACAUGAUUUAGUGUUUUCAUGCAUGGUGACUUAGCAAGCACACAAGCACACAAGCAAACAGAAAGCAAGUGAAAGAAAAGGGCGAAAGAAAAAGGCAAAUAUUUUUGUAAAUUUUGUUUUUUAGAAGUGGGGGAGAGGAAAAUGAGAGGCAAAUGGCAAAUAAUGUAAAUGCAAGAGAUGAGUUUGCAAUAGUUACUUGGUAGAUAUGCUUCACUUGAAUACUCCCCGGCAACGGCGCCAGAAAUUCUUCUUGCUACUUCUUUAGCUUGCGUUGUAUUUUCCUCAGUUUGAGAACCAAGGUAUCAAUCCAGUAGGAGUACCAAGAUGAGGCACCAAUGAACCUUCUCAAAAACAUACAAACUUGCAACCAACGCGAUAAAGGGGUUGUCAAUCCCUUCACGAUUACACUACUGAAGUUCAGAAAUUUGUCGUCUGCCAUGGCAGACGACAAAGGGGGGGAACCACGGAUGGCAAAGGCUUUGCCGUCGGUAAGCAGACGGCAAAGUAGACGGCAACAAAAAUCCGGUGAAGAAGUUCUUUGUCGUCUGCUUUUUUAAAGCGGAUGGCAAAGAAUCUUUGCCAUGAGGGGGCAGACGGCAAAUUAAAUGGGACGGCAGAUACACCAACGGUCCCGUUAAGUGUUAAUGGCACGCCUCCUGUCUUUGCCUUCUGCCAUCCCCCCUUUGCCAUGAGGGGGCAGAUGGCAAAGGGGGGAACCAAGCCCCUCUCUCUCCCCUCUUUGACGUCUGCCAUCCCCCCUUUGCCAUGAGGGGGCAGACGGCAAAGGGGGGAACCAAGCCCCUCUCUCUCCCCACUUUGUGGUCUUCCAUCCCCCUUUGCCAUGAGGGGGCAGACGGCAAAGGGUGGAACCAAGCCCCUCUCUCUCCUCUCUUUGCCAUCUACCAUCCCCCCUUCGCCAUGAGGGGGCAGAUGGCAAAGUGGGGAACCAACCCCUUUUUAUUUUAUUUCUUAAUAUAUCCAGCAUUUUUCACAAUAAUCAGGAUAUAUAUAUAUAUAUAUUUGACAUAAAUAAAUUUGUGUCCAUACUCAUAACCAUCUUAAAAUAACUUUAAUCCAUAGUACAUACAUAUUAUGCAAGUUCCAUCCGUACCAAACCAUAUAUUACACUCAUUCAUACAAAGUUUCAUAUAUAUCCAUAUACUACAAUAGUUUCAAUACAACCUUCCGUGAAGCCAUGGUACAAGAAAUCAUCUUCAAGCAUUCCAUCAAUAUAAUCCAAGCUUCCCGUGAAGUGAAUGUAAUCUGCAAAAAGACAAAUAAGAAAGUUAGAAGAAUAAUACUAGAUGAAGAAGUAUAUAGGUUAUUUCGGAGAGAACUAAGCUAAGUCGGAAGAAGAAGAACAACAACAUAUGAUGUUUAUGAGGUAAUCAACAACAACAACAAUAACAACAAAAAUGUGAAUAUGAAAGAGGAGAAUAAAGAGAAGGAGGAGGAGACGAAGAAGAAGAAAUCAAGAAGAAGGAGAAGAAUAAGGAUAAGGAGGAGGAGGAGGAGAAGGAGGAGAAGAAGGAGAAGGUCUAUCCUCCUUCUCCUUCUUCUCCUCCUCCUCUUCUCCUCCUUCUUCUCCUCCUCCUCUUCUCCUUAUCAUCUUCUUCUCUUCUUCUUCUUCUUCUUCUUCUUCCUUAUUUUCAUUUUUCCUAUUUCUUCUCCUCUUCUCCUCUUCUUGGAGCUAAAUUAUCUAAUUUUGUCCUUUUGGAGCUAAAUGGGCUAAUUAUGUCAUUUUAGAGGAAAACAAUCGAAGUAUAAAGUAUUCAUGAGCUAACCAAGGUUCUUAUGCCAUUUUGAUCUUAUUAUGUCAUUUUGGAGCUAAAUGGGCUAAUUAUGUGAUUGUUGGGGAAAAUAAGGUAAGGAUAAUAUGAAAGAGGAGAAGAAAGAGGAGGAUGAGGAGAAGAAUAAGAAAUCAACAAGAAGGAGAAUAGGAAGGAGAAGGAGGAGGAGGAGAAGGAGGAGAAGAAGGAGAAGGUCUUCUCCUUCUCCUUCUUCUCCUCCUCCUUCUCCUCCUCCUCCUUCUCCUUCUCUUCUUCUUCUUCUUCUUCCUUCUUUUCAUUUUUCCGAUUUCUUCUCCUCUUCUCCUCUUCUUGGAGGUAAAUUAUCUAAUUAUGUCUUUUUGUAGCUAAAUUGGAUAAUUAUGUCAUUUUUGAGCUAAAUGGGCUAAUUAUGUGAUUGUUGGAGAAAAUAAGGUAAGGAGAAUAUGAAAGAGGAGGACAAAGAGGAGGAGGAGAAGAAAAAGAAAUCAAGAAGGAGAAGAAGAAGGAGAAGGAGGAGGAGAAGGAGGAGAAGGAGAAGGAGAUGGAAAAGGUCUUCUCCUCCUUCUCCUUCUUCUCCUCGGCUCCUCCUCCUUCUCCUNNNNNNNNNNNNNNNNNNNNNNNNNNNNNNNNNNNNNNNNNNNNNNNNNNNNNNNNNNNNNNNNNNNNNNNNNNNNNNNNNNNNNNNNNNNNNNNNNNNNNNNNNNNNNNNNNNNNNNNNNNNNNNNNNNNNNNNNNNNNNNNNNNNNNNNNNNNNNNNNNNNNNNNNNNNNNNNNNNNNNNNNNNNNNNNNNNNNNNNNNNNNNNNNNNNNNNNNNNNNUCCUAUUCUUGGAGCUAAAUUUUCUAAUUAUGUCUUUUUGGAGGUAAAUGGGCUAAUUAUGUCAUUUUGUAGCUAAAUGGGCUAAUUAUGUCAUUCUUGGGGAAAAUAAAUUAAGGUGAAUAUGAAAGAGGAGAAUAAAUAGGAGGAGGAGAAGAAUAAUAAGAAAUGAAGAAGAAGGAGAAGAAAAAGGAGAAGGUGGAGGAGGAGGAGGAGGAGAAGGAGAAGAAGAUGGAAAAGGUCUUCUCCUCCUUGUCCUUCUUCUCCUACUCCUCUCCUCCUCCUUCUCCUCCUCCUCCUUCUCCUNNNNNNNNNNNNNNNNNNNNNNNNNNNNNNNNNNNNNNNNNNNNNNNNNNNNNNNNNNNNNNNNNNNNNNNNNNNNNNNNNNNNNNNNNNNNNNNNNNNNNNNNNNNNNNNNNNNNNNNNNNNNNNNNNNNNNNNNNNNNNNNNNNNNNNNNNNNNNNNNNNNNNNNNNNNNNNNNNNNNNNNNNNNNNNNNNNNNNNNNNNNNNNNNNCUUCUCCUAUUCUUGGAUCUAAAUUUUGUAAUUAUGUCUUUUUGGAGUUAAAUGGGGUAAUUAUGUCAUUUUGGAGCUAAAUGGGAAAAUUAUGUCAUUGUUGGGGAAAAUAAGGUAAGGAGAAUAUGAAAGAGGAGAAUAAAGAGGGGGAGAAGAAGAAGAAUAAGAAAUCAAGAAGAAGGAGAAGAAGAAGGAGAAGGAGAAGGAGGAGAAGAAGGAAAAUGUCUUAUCCUCCUUCUCCUUCUUGUCCUCCUCCUCUCCUCCUCCUUCACCUCCUCCUCGUCCUUCUCCUUCUCUUCUUCUUCUCUUCAUCAUCUUCUUCUUCUUGCUUCUUUUCAUUUUUCCUAUUUAUUCUCCUCUUCUCCUAUUCUUGGAGCUAAAUUUUCUAAUUAUGUCUUUUUGAGGCUAAUUGGGCUAAUUAUGUCAUUUUGGAGAUAAAUGGGGGUAAUUAUGUCAUUGUUGGGGAAAAUAAGGUAAGGAGAAUAUGAAAGAGGAGAAUAAAGAGGAUGAUGAGAAGAAGAAGAAGAAAUCAAGAAGAAGGAGAAGAAGAAGGAGAAGGAGUAGAAGGAGGAGAAGAAGGAAAAGGUCUUCUCCUCCUUCUCCUUCUCCUCCUCCUCUCCUCCUCCUCCUUCUCCUUCUCUCCUUCUUCUCUUCUUCUUCUUCUUCCUUCUUUUCAUUUUUCCUAUUUCUUCUCCUCUUAUCCUAUUCUUGGAGCUAAAUUUUCUAAUUAUGUCUUUUUGGAGCUAAAUGGGGUAAUUAUGUCAUUUUGGAGUUAAAUUAGCUAAGUAUAUAAUAUUCAUGAGCUAACCAAGGUUCUUAUGCCAUUUUGAGCUUAUUAUUUCAUUUUUUAGCUAAAUUGGUCAUUUUAAUGAGCUAACCAAGGUUCUUAUGAUGUUUUCACCUAACUAAGCUAAUUAUGUCAUUUUGUAGGAUAAUUAGCCAAUUUAGUCUUUCUUGGAUGACUCUAAGAUUUGUAGAAGAAGAGAAAGAGAAGAAGCAAGAAGAGAAGAAGAAGUAAAAGAAGAAGGAGUAGUAGGAGGAGGAGGAGGAGAAGGAGAAGGAAGAGGAGAAGAAGAAGAAAAGAAGAAGGAGAAGGAGAAGGACGAAGAAGGACGAAGAAGAAGGAGAAGGAGGAGCUCCUUCUCCUUCUUCUCCUCCUUCUCCUCCUUCUUAUCCUUCUUCGUAUCCUCUUCUUCUUCUCUUCUUCUUCUUCUUCUUCCUUCCUUUUAUUUUCCUCUUUCUUCUCCUCUUGUCCCCUUCUUUGGGCUAAAUUAGCUAAGAAUGCCUUUUUGGAGCUAAUUAUGUCAUUUCGAGGAUAAUUAUCUAAGUAUAUGUCAUGUUUUAUUAAAUAAACCAUUUUGGAGCUAACUAAGCUAAUUAUGUCAUUUAGGUGGAAGCCUAGCUAACUAUAGGUCAUUUCGGAGCUAACUCGGGUAAAAUGUGUCAUUCAUGAGCAAACUAUGCUUAUUAAGCCAUUUAGGAUUUAGCUAAGCUAAUUAAAGGCCAUUUAAUACCUAAGUUAGGGGAAUAGGUCAUCUUCGAGCUACCUAAGCCUUAUUAUGUCAUUUAGGAGAGAACUUAGCUAACUAUAGGUCAUUUUUUUAUUAAAUAGGUCAUUUUGGAACUAACUAAGCUAAUUAUGUCAUGUAGGUGGAAGCCUAGCUAACUAUAGGUUGUUUCGGAGCUCAUUUGGGUUAAAUAUGUCAUUUUGGAGCUAACUAUGCUUAUUAAGCCAUAUUGGAGCUAAAUUGGCUAAUUAUAUCAUUUAGGUGGAACCCAAGCUAAGUAUAUAAUAUUCACGAGCUAACCAAGGUUCUUAUGCCAUUUUGAGCUUAUUAUUUGAUUUUUAGCUAAAUUGGUCAUUUUAAUGAGCUAACCAAGGUUCUUAUGAUGUUUUCACCUAACUAAGCUAAUUAUGUCAUUUUGUAGGAUAAUUAGCCAAUUUAGUCUUUCUUGGAUGAGUCUAAGCUACGUCAAAGAAGAGAAAGAGAAGAAGCAAGAAGAGAAGAAAAAGUAAAAGAAUAAGGAGGAGGAGGAGGAGGAGAAGGAGAAGGAAGAGGAUAAGAAGAAGAAAAGAAGAAGGAGAACGAGAAGGAGGAAGGAGGAGGAAGAAGAAGGAGAAGGAGCUUCUUCUUCUCCUUCUCCUUCCUCUUAUCCUUCUUCUUCUCUUCUUCUUCUUCUUCCUUCCUUUGAUUUGUCCUCUUUCUUCUCGUCUUGUCCCCUUCUUCGGGUUAAUUAGAUAAGAAUGCCUUUUUGGAGCUAAUUAUGUCAUUUCGAGGAUAAUUAGCUAAGUAUAGGUCAUGUUUUAUUAAAUAGACCACUUUGGAGCUAACUAAGCUAAUUAUGUCAUUUAGGUGGAAGCCUAGCUAAUUUUUAUUAAAACACUAGAAAUAAGAUACCAUUAUCGUCAUCACGGCGGUGAAGCACAGUGGCUCUGGCUUGUUUCAACUCGAGAAGGCUGCCCUGGAGAAGACUCCACUGUAGAAGGGUCGUGCGAUGCGUUUCGGGAGAUAUUCUGCACCAAACAUCGUUUGCAAUGUGUCGUUAGCAUGAGGACACUCUUAAGAUCAUUGCACUAAAAUGAAACUCACCGUCCCCGCCAUGUUAAUGACUGGCAUCGGCGGAGGGACUUGGCCGGUCUUCUCGCACAUAGACUGUACAUUUGGUUUCGACAAGUCAAACUUUUUAUUUAUUAAUGAAACGGACAUUAAAAUGCAAGAUUUGAAAUAACAUGAAGAAGAAACUUACCACGAAGAGCUCGUAUAUGGCCCUGUUAGACGCAUCAUUCUGUGCCCUCUCCGCCUACACCAAUGCAGUCGUCCUCUCCUCCAGCUCCCUCAUCUCCUUAUCCUUCUCCGCCAUAGCCGCCUGAAUUGCCUCUCUCUCUUUCUGAAUAGGAGCCUGCAACACAACUCAUUGUUAGCAAAGUAAUCAUAUUGGUUCCAACGCACAACAUAAUGCGGAAAGAUAGUUGAGUCCAUUAAACUAACCUCGAUGGCGAGAUCGACUGGCCGUGGAUGAGGUGUUAUCUCCGGACAGGAGCUCGCUUGGCGUGCCUUUAUCUGCCGGAGAGUGCUAGGACAACGUAUAAGGCCGUCUCCAAUGGUGAUCAAGCCAUGGGGCCUCCCGUUGCCAUCUAUCAUCACCAGCUCUGGAUCAAUAGGCCCCUUGCUCGGGUUAAAGUCCUCCCCUUUCCUCGCCUUCCCGUGAUCUCUGUACUUCACGAGCUUGUGGUGGAAUGAGAUGUUGGUGAAGUUUUCUGGAUGCUCGAGGUCAGACUCAGAGAAUGCCUUAACCUUCUUGUACGAGGCAGUAUGGGCCAUCGCAUACAGGUCGUACAUCUGUGGCACCUCCGUCUUAUUCUGACGCGCCUAAAAGAGAGAGAGAGGAAAAUUGUAUUAGUAAAGGGCUCAAGAUAGCAUUAAGAAUGAAUUGCAUGAGGCAUGAAGCAAACCACAUACCCAGUUCUCGCCAAAUUGGAUUAAGUUGACGCUCCCUUGAUGGUGUGGCACACCAACCAUUUUGCCACGCCUCUCCUUGGCGUUGUUGUGGCUGGCCUCCCACGUUUUGGAGCACCACUGAUCCACCAAGGCCUCCCAACAAUCCAUCUUAUCCACACACCAUCUCGGGGGCACCUAAGUUCAUAAAGAGAAAUUUGAGCGCGUAAGAACAAAAUCAAGGAAACUAACUACAAAGCCUUAAUAAUAUGUAAUUACCUUCAUGUAAUGCUCCUUCUCCAUCUUAGAAUCACGACACUUCGCCUUGUCCUUCCUAAUAUGCUGCGUGGCAUAGUAAUCUCGAACAACCUGCACCCGAGCCUUGUGCCGAAAGUUUUGAAGUACGCGGUGACAUUCGGUUUCGAUAAGCUUNNNNNNNNNNNNNNNNNNNNNNNNNNNNNNNNNNNNNNNNNNNNNNNNNNNNNNNNNNNNNNNNNNNNNNNNNNNNNNNNNNNNNNNNNNNNNNNNNNNNCGAUACUACUUUAGUUACUCCCACUAUGGCCAGCCUUAUUUUAAUGAGGAGUUUAGACGACAUUCGUCGAGGAGCACCCCGAGCUCCACCAGCCUCACACUCCUCGACGAAUGCCCCCACCCAUGCGCCUCCACAACUCGCUGCCCAUGACAUCUGACGACCGACGCUUCCGGCAAACUGGCCCCCGCCCUCGGACCUCGUUGGCCACACGCAUGUGCCGCUCACCUGCUCCCGGCGACACCACUGGAGAAGCAAGAGAUGGCAGAGUCGUCGUCCCGUCCAUCCUCCGGUGUCGCAAUCGCAGCAGCGCAUCCUCUAUGUUAAGCUUCCUCAAUCCCAUCGCUGGAGACGUCAAGCGUGCUCGAAUAUCGCCUCCUCCACCACCGCGAUUACAUCACUCAUCGCGCUCAACCUUGUCUCCUCGCUUUGAUCCCACUAUCGCACCCUUGAUAUGACCAUUACCGCUCGCUUGGUGAGCCUCCAGCGUCUGGGAGCCCACUAUUGCCCUGCGCACCGCCCUGCAUCACCACCACAACUCUCUGAUGCACCAUGGAUAGCUCCAUGCACCGCUUGCCUUUGCUCCCACACAGCAAGGCUGCAGCCUGCAGCUUCCUCAAGCAGAUGUGGUCGGUGUGCCAUCUGUUGGCCCAGACCGUGUCAUCAAGUACUUUCCGACGACACACGACGACUGAUGACAAUCGAUGAUGAAGCAAACCAACGCUGACGAACUCGACGAAGUUCCUUUACGUCGAGGUGUACUACACCAACGUAGCACAACUAGCAAGCUAGCAAGCUAGCUGAUCGAUUUGAAGAAACUCACGUAUGGGAAGCUAGCAGCCGUGAUGGAUUCACCUGGUUCCUACGUACGCAUAUACGAGUCGCCGGCUGCUAAUUGGGUCGCUCCAAGUCUCACGAGACAACACGCCAAGCUGGCCAAAAGGCUCGUGUCGAGCCUUAUACUUUUAUUUCUUUUGAUCUCUCUGUCUCACGGUCGCAGCUUACAAGGGGAUAGCUACCUAUAUAUAAUAGUCGGGACAUUAGAUAAGAUAACCUACACGGCUACGAAUCCUAAUCCUACCACUAUACGAUGAUUGUCCUAUGUACAAACCGGACACAAACCACACAAGUCGUGGUUACUUCCAACAAUCACCCCCCUAAAACAACGUCAUCAUGUCACAGCUUCGACGCCGAUCCUUCUUUGCAUUUCCAGAAACUUCUCCCGAUCCAAAGCCUUGGUCAGGAUGUCCGCCAACUGAUCAUCGUUGCAAUUGUAGUUGACCUCCGUCUUCUCUUCUUCCACGUAGUCCUUCAUGUAGUGAUACAUCGUAUCAAUGUACUUGCUCCAAUCAUGCCGCACUAGAUCCUCACAUAGAAAAAAUUUAGACUCGUUAUCAACAUUGAGCACCACUUAUUCCGGAUCUCGAUCCAUGAGAUCACCGUGUAGCCUUAGCCACACAUCUUGACACUCUGCUUCACUUGAAGUCGAUGUCAUCACUUUCUGCUUUCGUGAUAGCCAGCUUACUAUGCUUACACCAAAGAAACAUGCCACCUCCAAGGUACUCUUACGGUCGUCAACAAUUCCUUCCUUGUCACUAUCACUAUAGCCGAGUAGUCUCACGAUCUUCUUCUUGCUCAGCUCAAGACGAGGUUUCAUUGAAGCAUCAAUUGGAUUGCAAUCUUUCAUAUCGCAACUUUCAAGUACUUUCCUUGUGUAUCCCUCCUUGCAUAUUGAAAUCCCUUCCGGCUUUUGAUGUACCUCUGGUCCGAGGUAGCAACUCAAAACACCUAGAUCAUACAUCUUGAAAAACUCCUUCAUUUGUAGCUUGAACUUUGCAAUCACCUCUUCAUCUGCUCUAGUAAUCAAUAGAUCAUGGUCGUAGAUGCCAACUAGUAGACGAUCCCUUCCUUCACCUCUCUUAUACAUUGCAUGCUCGAGUGGGGCUUUCUCAAAUCCAAGAGAAAUCAUAGUAUGAUCAAGUUUGAUGUUCCACGUCCAAUUGUUGGCCCAGACCUUGUCGUCGAGUACUUUCCGACGACAUGCGACAACCGAUGACAAUCGACGACGAAGCAAAGCAAUGCUGACGAACUCGACAAAGUUCCUUUACGUCGAGAUGUACUACACCAACGUAGCACAGCUAGCAAGUUAGCUGAUCGAUUUGAAGAAACUCACGUAUGGGAAGCUAGCAGCCCUCAUGGAUUCACCUAGUUCCUACGUAUGCAUGUACGAGUCGCAGGCUGCUAAUUGGGUCGCUCCAAGUCUCACGAGACAACACGCCAAGCUGGCCAAAAGGCUCGUGUUGAGAUUCAAUAUAAAUAAUGGAGCGAUUCAAUAUCUACUACAAAACUAGGAUUUUCCCAUUAUUUAAAGAAGUAAAAAACUAAGAAAACAAAACCAAUGUGAAGUUCAAAUUAAAAUAACACAGAAGUUCGGAGUUUAUUAAAACCUAGGAUUUACAUGUUCAAAAAACAAAAACAAAACACAUCACCAUUUUUGGAAUUUUUAAAAUCAACACAUAAAAUGAAAAACAUUUGUUGCUAGAAGUUCAAGUGCUUGGUGAGGGAAAGUUUGAAAGUGCUCGGCUAAAGACUUCCGUUUUCGGUUGAGUAGCAGUAGUCCCCAACUAUUUGGUGCUUUUUUCUAUCAUUUAUGCUCAUACAUUUGUGUCUCCGGAAUCCUCUAUGUCGUUCUGGUGCUCGCUACCCACAUAAGCAGAGGGAGGAAUAAGUUAACCACAUGGCAGGGGAGAAGGUCAGACAUGAGGUGCAAGGCACACGGGUGUCACCAUUGGGAGUUCAAGAAGAUGGUCAUGAUUUGUGAGAAUAAGUGUUGUUGCUGGGAUGCACUAUUGCUUCUUGUGAGGCCGCAUCGAGCUAGUUUCCUCAUCUACCUGGGUAUGCGCCUGUGCCUCACCACUGAACUCCUUUGUAUAUCCAGCAAAAAUAUNNNNNNNNNNNNNNNNNNNNNNNNNNNNNNNNNNNNNNNNNNNNNNNNNNNNNNNNNNNNNNNNNNNNNNNNNNNNNNNNNNNNNNNNNNNNNNNNNNNNGAGACUCCUAGGCGGUAGGAGUUCUUCGGAGAGGAAUCAAUCCGUGUGAUUUCCCCCGGAAAAUUUUGUGAGGGUUUGGAAGCCACCUCAAAGGCUUACCACUAGUGCUUGAGAAACGCCUUCGUGGAGUUGUCUCAAAGGGAGAAUAGGGUGAGCCUUCGUGGCGUUGGUGUGCCUUCGUGGUAACAUCCAGCUCUCUAACGGUGACUAGCUUCCCUCCAAGGAAGUGAACAUCGGGAUACAUCUUCGUCUGAGUGACCUUGGUUAUCCUUAACCCUAACUCCUUACUUGUGGUUUACUUGUGUUAUUUGAGCAUACAUACAUUGCAUAUUGCUUGUGCUUAUUAUAUUGUGUUGGCCAUUCCUUGUACAAGAUUAAUCAUUCAAGCAUACCCUCUGUAUCCACACGUACAUACUUGCAACCCUUGAUAUAUCGUGUGAUAUAGUGUGAUCUAGUAUCUUGUGUUAUUUACCUACUUGUCGUGUGAUAUAGCUCAAGUAAGUUUGUGUAACUUACUUGUGCUUGUUAGUAACUGCAUUGUGUCCAUCUUGGUAGAUCGUGUUGUUGAUACACGUUGCAGUGCCUAGUGCAUUUAGGAUUUGUGCUUGACAAGUACCCUCUUAGUUUAUUUCCGCAUCAGGUUCAAGCCAAAUCUUAAGAAGUUUUUAAAUAGCCUAUUCACCCCCCUCUAGGCGUCAUCGAGGUCUUUUCAAUUGGUAUCAGAGCUAGGUCUCUCUUUAAUUAGGUUUCACGACCUAGAGAGUAUCGAUGUCGACUAUUGGAUUAGUGCACAAUGGCAUCUUUGACUUUGAUGGCACAAAUUAUACCCUAUGGAGAAUUCGUAUGCUUCAUCACUUUCGGGCCAUGGGCCCAAAUACUUUACGAAUUGUUCUUGUAGGGAUUGCCGAAAAAAAGGAUGAUGCAUCUUCAUCUACUAAUGAAAUGUAUCUUGAUUGUGAGGCCUUUCUUGCCAUUCAUCGAACCAUAAGUCCUGAAGUGUUUAAGUCUAUCUCGACUUGCAAGUCGGCUCAUGAAGUUUGGACUAAACUUGAAGAUAUAUAUGGUGGGUCCAAUCUUGAUGAAGAUGGUAUUAUGAUGAAGGAGUUGGUGCAUGAACUCUUCACUCUUUUCGAUCUUAAAGAGUCCACCACUACUUCCAUAUCCGAUUGCUUGCACACCUCAGCAUCUUCAAUCUCACAAGGUAAUGACAUGGUGAGUGAAGAAAUAUAUGUUGAUGAAAAUGUCAUAGCCUCUAUGGACACGAGCAUAUCUAGCACCACACAUAGUGUAAAUUAUUGUGCUGAUAGGUCAUGCAUUUCACCUAAAGAUUCCUUGACAAAUGUCUGUGGUGAUAUGCUUGCUUCCUCGUGUCCUCUUGAUCAAAAUAUCUUGUUUCUCCCUAGUUGCUCUAUGACUAAUCAUUUAGGGGAUAUUAAGAAAUAUGAAGUACUUUUGACUAAUGAAGAAUCUGAUUCACCAAAAGAAUCAUCAUCAACUCCUCCAGUUCACAUGUGCCUCAUGGCAAGAGGUAAUAAUGAGGUAUCAUCUUCCCUGUGCAAUAACGAUGAUAUUUGCGAUGAGGAUGAUGAUGAUGAGUUGACUGAAAAUAUCUAUGUGAUCAGUAAAAUUCUUCAUAAAGCUAAAAAUAACGCUCUUCAAAGAUUCCAAGAUGUUCUUUCUUACUUUGAAAAUUGUAAUGAUUCACUUAAUCAUGAACAAGCUAAAAGUGAACAACUUGAACAUGAACUUGAGAAGAGUCAUCAAGCAUGUAGAGACUUAAGAUCUUCAAAAGGAGAGAUUGAAGUUGCUCAUGAUAAACUUAAAAAGGAUUUUGAGGUCCUUCUCCUUGAAUGCAAUAAUGUCAAGGGAGAGCUCAUCAAAACCUCUAAGAUCUAUGAGGAGCUUCAAUCUACUCAUGAGAAGUCUCUAUUUGCUACUUACUCGUCUCAUAUUGUUGAUGAUACUUGUACAUCUAACUCUACAUCAUUUGAAGUAUCAACAUUGAAGGAGAAUGUUGAGCUACGUGCUCAACUUGAUUUACUAACUAGCAAUUAUGGGAAGUUGGAAGAAAACCAUGUAAUGCUCACAAGCUCUCAUGCCGAUCUUCUAACAUCCCAUAAUGUGCAAAAGUUAGCUUAUGAGGCUAUCAUCACCAAGGUAACAUCUAGCGAGCCUCAUGUGGACAAUGGCACUACUUCUAGUCAAAGUACUAUAUUUCCAUGUGCUAGUCCUCGUAAUUCGUCUACUCAUAAUGUUGCUACCUCGUGUGAUGAAUUACUUUCCUUGCCUUGUUGCUCUAACAUUGAAGCUUACACUUCCUCCAGUACUUGCAUUGAUACUAACCGUGCAGAGGAAAUCAAAGAGCUCAAGGCCCAAGUCACUUCUUUGAAGAAAGACUUGGAACAGUGUCAUGAAGGGAUGCCCACACUCAACAACGUCCUGUGUGAGCAAACAUCUCCGAAUGACAAAAAUGAGUUUGGAGUAAACUCAAACAAGAACAAGAGGGGCCUAGAACAAGUCAAGAAUUCGGCCAAAAUCAUUUGCUUCAAGUGCAAAGUUAAAGGGCACCAUGUUAGAUCCCUCUGAAGACGAAGUCUCAAAGUCACAAGCAACAAGGGAAGCGGUCACAAACUCAAUCACAUAUUCAACUACAAGUUGAAGGAAGGCCUCUUCCCAAUAAGACCCAAGCCAACACUCCCCAAGGUGAGAAAUCAACUGGGAAGAAAACAAAGGGUAGAUGUUGUUGUGGAUGGUGAAGGAAGGCCUCUUCCCAAUAAGACCCAAGUCACUUAAUCAUGGUGAUGUCCAUCUACGAGAGGGGAUGAGUGAUCUACAUACCCUUGUAGACCGUACAGCAGAAGCGUUAGUGAACACGAUUGAUGUAGUGGAACGUCCUCACGUCCCUCAAUCCGCCCCGCGAACUAUCCCGCGAUCAGUCCCACGAUCUAGUGCCGAACGGACGGCACCUCCGCGUUCAGCACACGUACAGCUCGACGAUGAUCUCAGCCUUCUUGAUCCAGCAAGAGAGACGGAGAGGUAGAAGAGUUCUCCGGCAGCGUGACGGCGCUCCGGAGGUUGGUGAUGAUCUCGUCUCAGCAGGGCUCCGCCCGAGCUCCGCAGAAACGCGAUCUAGAGGAAAAACCGUGGAGGUAUGUGGUCGGGCUGCCGUGGAAAAGUCGUCUCAAAUCAGCCCUAAAACCUCCAUAUAUAUAGGUGGGAGAGGGGGGGCCUUGCCUUGGGGCUCAAGGAGCCCCAAGGGGUUCGGCCGAGCCAAGGGGGGAAGGUCUCCCCCCCAAACCGAGUUGGACUUGGUUUGGUGGGUGGGAGUCCUUCCUUCCCUUCCCACCUCCUCUUUUUUUUCUCUUCUCUUUGAUUUUUCUUCCAAUGCACAUAGGGCCCUUUUGGGCUGUCCCACCAGCCCACUAAGGGCUGGUGCGCCACCCUUAAGGCCUAUGGGCUUCCCCGGGGUGGGUUACCCCCCCGGUGAACUCCCGGAACCCAUUCGUCAUUCCCGGUACAUUCCCGGUAACUCUGAAAACCUUCCGGUAAUCAAAUGAGGUCAUCCUAUAUAUCAAUCUUCGUUUCCGGACAAUUUCGGAAACCGUCGUGAUGUCCGUGAUCUCAUCCGGGACUGCGAACAACAUUCGGUAACCAACCAUAUAACUCAAAUACGCAUAAAACAACGUCGAACCUUAAGUGUGCAGACCCUGCGGGUUCGAGAACUAUGUAGACAUGACCUGAGAAACUCCUCGAUCAAUAUCCAAUAGCGGGACCUGGAUGCCCAUAUUGGAUCCUACAUAUUCUACGAAAAUCUUAUCGUUUGAACCUCAGUGCCAAGGAUUCAUAUAAUCCCAUAUGUCAUUCCCUUUGUCCUUCGGUAUGUUACUUGCCCGAGAUUCGAUCGUCAGUAUCCGCAUACCUAUUUCAAUCUCGUUUACCGGCAAGUCUCUUUACUCAUUCCGUAAUACAAGAUCCCGCAACUUACCCUAAGUUACAUUGCUUGCAAGGCUUGUGUGUGAUGUUGUAUUACCGAGUGGGCCCCGAGAUACCUCUCCGUCACACGGAGUGACAAAUCCCAGUCUUGAUCUAUACUAACUCAACGAACACCUUCGGAGAUACCUGUAGAGCAUCUUUAUAGUCACCCAGUUACGUUGUGACGUUUGAUACACACAAAGUAUUCCUCCGGUGUUAGUGAGUUAUAUGAUCUCAUGGUCAUAGGAACAAAUACUUGACACGCAGAAAACAGUAGCAACAAAAUGACACGAUCAACAUGCUACGUCUAUUAGUUUGGGUCUAGUCCAUCACGUGAUUCUCCUAAUGACGUGAUCCAGUCAUCAAGCAACAACACCUUUGUUCAUAAUCAGAAGACACUGACUAUCUUUGAUCAACUGGCUAGCCAACUAGAGGCUUGCUAGGGACAGUGUUUUGUCUAUGUAUCCACACAUGUAAAUGAGUCUUCAUUCAAUACAAUUAUAGCAUGGAUAAUAAACGAUUAUCUUGAUACAGGAAUUAUAAUAAUAACUAUAUUUAUUAUUGCCUCUAGGGCAUAAUUCCAACAGUCUCCCACUUGCACUAGAGUCAAUAAUCUAGCCCUCACAUCAUCAUGCGAAUUACAUUGUAAUAAAUCUAACACCCAUACAGUUCUGGUGUUGAUCAUGCUUUGGCCGUGGAAGAGGUUUAGUCAGCGGGUCUGCUACAUUCAGAUCUGUGCGCACUUUGCAUAUAUUUAUGUCCUCUCCUUCGACGUAGUCGCGGAUGAGGUUGAAGCGUCGUUUGAUGUGUCUAGACUUCUUGUGAAACCGUGGUUCCUUUGCUAAGGCAAUGGCACCCGUGUUGUCACAGAACAAGGUUAUUCGAUUCAGUGCGCUUGGCACCACUCCAAGAUCCGUCAUGAAGUGCUUCAUCUAGACACCCUCCUUAGCCGCCUCCGAGGCAGCCAUGUACUCCGCUUCACAUGUAGAAUCUGCUACGACGCUUUGCUUGGAACUGCACCAGCUUACCGCACCCCCAUUAAGAAUAAAUACGUAUCCGGUUUGCGACUGAGAGUCGUCCGGAUCUGUGUCAAAGCUUGCAUCGACGUAACCUUUUACGGCGAGCUCUUCGUCACCUCCAUACACGAGAAACAUCUCCUUAGUCCUUUUCAGGUACUUCAGGAUAUUCUUGAGCGCUGUCAACUGAUCCACUCCUGGAUUACUCUGGAACCUACCUGCCAUACUUAUGGCCAGGCUAACGUCCGGUCUAGUGCACAGCAUUGCAUACAUGAUAGAACCUAUGGCUGAAGCAUAGGGGACGGAGCGCAUAUGCUCUCUAUCUUCAUCAGUUGCUGGGCACUGAGUCUUACUCAAUCUCGUACCUUGUAAAACUGGCAAGAAGCCCUUCUUGGACUGUUUCAUUUUGAACCUCUUCAAAACUUUAUCAAGGUAUGUGCUUUGUGAAAGUCCUAUCAGGCGUUUUGAUCUAUCCCUAUAGAUCUUAAUGCCUAGAAUGUAAGCAGCUUCUCCUAGGUCCUUCAUAGAGAAACUUUUAUUCAAGUAAUCCUUUAUGCUUUCCAAAAACUCCAUGUUGUUUCCAAUCAGCAAUAUGUCAUCCACAUAUAAUAUUAGAAACGCCACAGAGCUCCCACUCACUUUCUUGUAAAUACAAGAUUCUCCAACCACUUGUAUAAACCCAAAUGCUUUGAUCACCUCAUCAAAACGUUUGUUCCAACUCCGAGAUGCUUGCACCAGUCCAUAAAUGGAUCGCUGGAGCGUGCACACCUUGUUAGCAUUCUUAGGAUUGACAAAACCUUCGGGUUGUAUCAUAUACAAUUCUUCCUUAAGGAAAUCGUUAAGGAACGCCGUUUUGACAUCCAUCUGCCAGAUUUCAUAAUCAAAAAAUACAGCUAUUGCUAACAUGAUUCUGACGGACUUAAGCAUCGCUACGGGUGAGAAUGUCUCAUCGUAGUCAACUCCUUGAACUUGUGAAAAACCCUUUGCCACAAGUCGAGCUUUUAUAAACGGUCACAUUGCCGUCAGCGUCCAUCUUCCUCUUAAAGAUCCAUUUGUUCUGAAUAGCCUUGCGGCCCUCAGGCAGUACCUCCAAAGUACACACUUUGUUCUCAUACAUGGAUUCUAUCUCAGACUUCAUGGCUUCUAGCCAUUUGUUGGAAUCUGGGCCCACCAUUGCUUCUUCAUAAUUUGCAGGUUCAUUGUUGUCCAACAACAUGAUUGAUAAGACGGGAUUACCGUACCACUAUGGAGCAGUACGUGGUCUCGUCGACCUGUGUGGUUCGACAGAAACUUGAACCGGAGUUUCAUGAUCAUCAUCAUUAACUUCCUCCUCAACCGGCGUCGCAACGACAGAGGUUUCCCCUUGCCCUGCGCCACCAUCCAGAGGGAUGAGAGGUUCGACAACCUCGUCAAGUUCUAUCUUCCUCCCACUCAAUCUCUCGAGAGAAACUCCUUCUCGAGAAAAGCUCCGUUUUUAGCAACAAACACUUUGCCCUCGGGUUUGAGAUAGAAGGUGUACCCAACUGUCUCUUUUGGGUAACCUAUGAAGACGCACUUUUCUGCUUUGGGUUCCAGUUUUUCAGGCUGAAGCUUUUUGACAUAAGCAUCACAUCCCCAAACCUUAAGAAACGACAACUUUGGCCUUUUGCCAUACCACAGUUCGUAUGGUGUCGUCUCAACGGAUUUUGAUGGUGCCCUAUUUAAAGUGAAUGCAGCUGUUUCUAAUGCAUAACCCCAAAACGAUAACGGCAAAUCGGUAAGAGACAUCAUGGAUCGCACCAUCUCUAAUAAAGUACGAUUACGACGUUCGGACACACCAUUACACUGUGGUGUUCCAGGCGGUGUCAACUGUGAAACAAUCCCACAUUGUCUUAAGUGAGCACCAAACUCGAAACUCAGAUAUUCACCCCCACGAUCAGACCGUAGGAACUUGAUCUUCUUGUUACGAUGAUUUUCAACUUCACUCUGAAAUUGCUUGAACUUUUCAAAUGUUUCAGACUUGUGCUUCAUCAAGUAGACAUAACCAUAUCUACUCAAAUCGUUAGUGAAGGUGAGAAAAUAACGAUAUCCGCCGCGUGCCUCCACGCUCAUCGGACCACACACAUCGGUAUGUAUGAUUUCCAACAAGUCACUUGCAUGCUCCAUUGUUCCGGAGAAUGGAGUCUUAGUCAUCUUGCCCAUGAGGCAUGGCUCGCACGUGUCAAGUGAAUCAAAGUCAAGUGACUCCAAAAGUCCAUCAGCAUGGAGUUUCUUCAUGCGCUUUACACCAAUAUGACCUAAGCGGCAGUGCCACAAAAAUAUGGCGCUAUCAUUGUUAACUCUAACUCUUUUGGUCUCAAUGUUAUGUAUGUGUGUAUCACUAUCAAGAUUCAAUAUGAACAAUCCUCUCACAUUGGGUGCAUGACCAUAAAAGAUGUUACUCAUAGAAAUAGAACAACCAUUAUUCUCUGACUUAAAAGAGUAACCGUCUCGCAAUAAACAAGAUCCAGAUAUAAUGUUCAUGCUCAACGCAGGCACUAAAUAACAAUGAUUUAAGUUCAUAACUAAUCCUGAUGGUAACUGAAGUGAAACUGUGCCGACGGCGAUUGCAUCAACCUUGGAACCAUUUCCUACGCGCAUCGUCACUUCAUCUUUCGCCAACCUUCGUCUAUUCCGCAGUUCCUGUUUCGAGUCGCAAAUAUGAGCAACAGAACCGGUAUCGAAUACCCAGGCACUACUACGAGAGCCGGUUAAGUACACAUCAAUAACUUGUAUAUCAAAUAUACCUGAUUUUUCUUUGGCCGCCUUCUUAUCUGCGAGAUACUUGGGGCAAUUGCGCUUCCAGUGACCCAUACCCUUGCAAUAGUAACACUCCGUUUCAGGCUUAGGUCCAGCUUUGGGUUUCUUCGUCGGAUUGGCAACAGGCUUGCCGCUCUUCUUUGAAUUACCCUUCUUGCCUUUGCCGUUUCUCUUGAAACUAGUGGUCUUAUUCACCAUCAACACUUGAUGCUCUUUACGGAGUUNNNNNNNNNNNNNNNNNNNNNNNNNNNNNNNNAAAUAGAACAACCAUUAUUCUCUGACUUAAAAGAGUAACCGUCUCGCAAUAAACAAGAUCCAGAUAUAAUGUUCAUGCUCAACGCAGGCACUAAAUAACAAUGAUUUAAGUUCAUAACUAAUCCUGAUGGUAACUGAAGUGAAACUGUGCCGACGGCGAUUGCAUCAACCUUGGAACCAUUUCCUACGCGCAUCGUCACUUCAUCUUUCGCCAACCUUCGUCUAUUCCGCAGUUCCUGUUUCGAGUCGCAAAUAUGAGCAACAGAACCGGUAUCGAAUACCCAGGCACUACUACGAGAGCCGGUUAAGUACACAUCAAUAACUUGUAUAUCAAAUAUACCUGAUUUUUCUUUGGCCGCCUUCUUAUCUGCGAGAUACUUGGGGCAAUUGCGCUUCCAGUGACCCAUACCCUUGCAAUAGUAACACUCCGUUUCAGGCUUAGGUCCAGCUUUGGGUUUCUUCGUCGGAUUGGCAACAGGCUUGCCGCUCUUCUUUGAAUUACCCUUCUUGCCUUUGCCGUUUCUCUUGAAACUAGUGGUCUUAUUCACCAUCAACACUUGAUGCUCUUUACGGAGUUCAGACUCUGCGACUUUCAGCAUCGCAAACAACUCGCCGGGAGACUUGUUCAUCCCUUGCAUGUUGUAGUUCAACACAAAGCCUUUAUAGCUUGGCGGUAGUGAUUGAAGGAUUCUGUCAGUGAUAGCCUCUUGCGGGAGUUCAAUCCCCAGCUCAGCUAGACGGUUUGAGUACCCAGACAUUUUGAGCACAUGUUCACUGACAGACGAGUUUUCCUCCAUCUUGGAAGCAUAGAAUUUAUCGGAGGUCUCAUACCUCUCGAUCCGGGCGUUCUUCUGAAAGAUAAACUUCAACUCCUGGAACAUCUCAAAUGCUCCAUGACGCUCAAAGCGACGUUGAAGUCCCGGUUCUAGGCCAUACAAGACUGCACAUUGAACUAUUGAGUAGUCCUCCUUACGUGCUAACCAAGCGUUCUUAACAUCCUGAUCAGCCGUAGCGGGUGAUUCAUCUCCUAGCGCAGCAUUAAGGACAUAAUCCUUCUUCCCAGCUUGUAAGAUUAGCUUAAGAUUACGAGCCCAGUCUACAAAGUUGCUUCCAUCAUCUUUCAACUUAGCUUUCUCUAGGAACGCAUUAAAAUUCAGGGUGACUGUCGCGUGAGCCAUGAUCUACAACACAAAUAUAUUCAAAGUGGACUUAGACUAUGUUCAAGAUAAUUAGAGUUUAACUUAAUCAAAUUAUUCGCUAAACUCCCACUCAAAAAGUACAUCUCUCUAGUCAUUUGAGUGGUUCAUGAUCCACUUACACUAGCUCAAGUCCGAUCAUCACGUGAGUUGAGUAUAGUUUCAGUGGUAAGCAUACCUAUGCUAAUCAUAUCAUCUAUAUGAUUCAUGAUCGACCUUUCGGUCUCAUGUGUUCCGUGGCCAUGUCUGCACAUGCUAGGCUCGUCAAGCUUAACCCGAGUGUUCCGCGUGCGCAACUGUUUUGCACCCGUUGUAUGUGAACGUUGAGUCUAUCACACCCGAUCAUCACGUCGUGUCUCGAAACGACGAACUGUAGCAACGGUGCACAGUCGGGGAGAACACAGUUUCGUCUUGAAAUUUUAGUGAGAGAUCACCUCAUAAUGCUACCGUCGUUCUAAGCAAAAUAAGGUGCAUAAAAGGAUUAACAUCACAUGCAAUUCAUAAGUGACAUGAUAUGGCCAUCAUCACGUGCUUCUUGAUCUCCAUCACCAAAGCAUCGGCACGAUCUUCUUGUCACCGGCGCCACACCAUGAUCUCUAUCAACGUGUCAUCAUCGGGGUUUUCGUGCUACUCAUGCUAUUACUACUAAAGCUACAUCCUAGCAAAAUAGUAAACGCAUCUGCAAGCACAAAUGUUAGUAUAAAGACAACCCUAUGGCUCCUGCCGGUUGCCGUACCAUCGACGUGCAAGUCGAUAUUAUCUAUUACAACAUGAUCAUCUCAUACAUCCAAUAUAUCUCAUCACAUCGUUGGCCAUAUCACAUCACAAGCAUACCCUGCAAAAACAAGUUAGACGUCCUCUAAUUUUGUUGUUGCAUGUUUUACGUGGUGACCACGGGUAUCUAGUAGGAUCGCAUCUUACUUACGCAAACACCACAACGGAGAUAUAUGAGUUGCUAUUUAACCUCAUCCAAGGACCUCCUCGGUCAAAUCCGAUUCAACUAAAGUUGGAGAAACCGACACUUGCCAGUCAUCUUUGAGCAACGGGGUUACUCGCAGCGAUGAAACCAGUCUCUCGUAAGCGUACGAGUAAUGUCGGUCCAAGCCGCUUCAAUCCAACAAUACCGCGGAAUCAAGAAAAGACUAAGGAGGGCAGCAAAACGCACAUCACCGCCCACAAAAACUUUUGUGUUCUACUCGAGAAGACAUCUAUGCAUGAACCUAGCUCAUGAUGCCACUGUUGGGGAACGUCGCAUGGGAAACAAAAAAUUUCCUACGCGCACGAGGACCUAUCAUGGUGAUGUCCAUCUACGAGAGGGGAUGAGUGAUCUACAUACCCUUGUAGACCGUACAGCAGAAGCNNNNNNNNNNNNNNNNNNNNNNNNNNNNNNNNNNNNNNNNNNNNNNNNNNNNNNNNNNNNNNNNNNNNNNNNNNNNNNNNNNNNNNNNNNNNNNNNNNNNGCAGGAGGCUGCCGCCCAGCCGGUUGUGCGCGAUGUUCACCCUCGUGAUGUUCCGGCACUCGAACAUGCCAUCCGGGACUACGCCGGACAGCGAGUUGUUGUACAGCAUGAACUGCUGGAGCGAUUGGAGCUUCUCAAACGUCGCCGGGAUUUCACCGGACAGAGCAUUGUCCGCCAAGUCGAGAACCUGGAGCUGAUGACAGUCGCCGAGCUCCGGCGGAAUCAGGCCCGACAGCUCGUUCUGCCGGAGGUGAAGGAAGAUCAGUUCGGACAGAUUCCCGAUGGACGCCGGUAUGCUCCCGUUGAACUGGUUCCCAAAGAAGUCGAUCAUCUGCAAGCUCGAGCACUUCCCGAUGGUCUCCGGUAUCUCGCCGGAGAACUGGUUCUCGUACAAGUACAGUUCCUGGAGGUUCUUCAGAUUGCCGAUGGCGUCCGGCAGCUGGCCUGUGAGCUGAUUGUGGUACAGUGCAAGGCUAGUGAGCUCAGUGAGGUUAAAGAUNAGCUGAUUGUGGUACAGUGCAAGGCUAGUGAGCUCAGUGAGGUUAAAGAUCUCCGGCGGCAGUCCGCCAGAGAGGCUGUUGUUAUUGAGCAGCAGACCCGUCAGGUUCCCGAGCUCGCCGAGCCCGGGCGGGAUGGCGCCAGAGAGGCUGUUGUUCGCCAAGUCGAGCUGCGUCAGCGCACGGCACCGCGACAGCCCGUCCGGUAUCUCCCCGGUGAGGUUGUUGGUGGAGAGCAGGAGGUGCUCGAGGCUAGUGGAUGACUCUUCUUCGUUGCUGCCGCUACACAGGUUGCCCGGAAGGCGGCCGCUGAGGUGGUUGUCGGCGAGCACAAGGAAGUUCAGCUGCGGUAGCCGGCCGAGCUCGGCGGGGAGCCCGCCAGUGAGCAUGUUACCGGACAGGUCAAUGGUGUGCACGCGAGAGAGCGCGGCGAGAGCGCGCGGCACGCUCCCAGAGAGGCGGUUGUUCAUGAGGUUGAGGUACAGGAGCUCGCCCAGAGCGCCGAGCUCCGGCGGUAUGGCGCCCUCCAAUGAAUUGUUCCCGAGGUUGAGCUUCUGGAGGUAGGAGAGCUUCCCAAGCUCCGGCGGUAUCUUGCCGGUGAGGUGAUUCCCAGCGAGAGCAAGCGCCUCGAGGCUGGCCAUGGCGCCGAUGUCCGCUGGUAUCGGCCCGGAAAGGGAGUUCUCUUGCAGGUUCAAGGCCGUGAGCGCAGCGAGCCUCCCUAGCCCCCCCGGUAUCUCUCCGGUCAGGUUGCACGACGCGAGCCCGAUCACGGUGAGGUUCCGAAGCUCCCCGAGCGCUUUGGGGAUUGGCCCCGACAAGCCAAGGUUGUCGCCGAGGCGCAGCACCUGGAGCGCGGCGAGUCUGCCCAGCGACGCGGGGAUCCCGCCGGCGAGCUGGUUGGAGUAGAGCAUGAGAAGCUGGAGCCUUUCGAGCCCCCCGAGAGCAGCCGGGAUGGGGCCGGUGAUGCGGUUGGACGACAGAUCGAUGACCUCCAGUGCGUCGAGCCGCGCGAGCGCCCCGGGAACCGGCCCGGACANNNNNNNNNNNNNNNNNNNNNNNNNNNNNNNNNNNNNNNNNNNNNNNNNNNNNNNNNNNNNNNNNNNNNNNNNNNNNNNNNNNNNNNNNNNNNNNNNNNNUGCAUAGAGAGAGCUAUAGUUGUUCCUUUCCAGCUAUUUCUGAACUUCUACGACGUGAUGCAUUUUUUCAUGUAAUAGAUUCACAACAACUAUAGGAGGGAGUAUAUUUUUACUGGAUAUACAAAGGAGUUCAGCGGUGAGGCACAAGCGCAUACCCAAGUAGAGGAGGAAACUAGCUCGAUGCGGCCUCACAAGAAGCAAUACUGCAUCCCAGCAACAACACUGAUUCUCACAAAUCAUGACCAUCUUCUUGAACUCCCAAUGGUGACACCCGUGUUCCUUGCACCUCAUGUGUGACCUUCUCCCCUGCCAUGUGGUUAACUUAUUCCUCCCUCUGUUUAUGUGGGUAGCGAGCACCAGAGCGACAUGGAGGAUUCCGGAGACACAAAUGUAUGAGCAUAAAUGAUAGAAAAAAGCAUCAAAUAGUUGGGGACUACUGCUACUCAACCGAAAACGAAAGUCUCUAGCCGAGCACUUUCAAACUUUCCCUCACCGAGCACUUGAACUUCUAGCAACAAAUGUUUUUCGUUUUAUGUGCUGGUUUUAAAAAUUCCAAAAAUGGUGAUGUGUCUUGUUUUUGUUUUUUGAACAUGUAAAUCCUAGGUUUUAAUAAACUCCGAACUUUUGUGUUAUUUUAAUUUGAACUUCACAUUGGUUUUGUUUUCUUUGUUUUUUACUUCUUUAAGUAAUGGAAAAAUCCUAGUUUUGUAAUAGAUAUUGAAUCGCUGUGUUAUUUAUAUUGAAUCUCAACACGAGCCUUUUGGCCAGCUUGGCGUGUUGUCUCGUGAGACUUGGAGCGACCCAAUUAGCAGCCGGCGACUCGUACAUGCGUACGUAGGAACCAGGUGAAUCCAUCAGGGCUGCUAGCUUCCCAUACGUGAGUUUCUUCAAACCGAUCAGUUAGCUUGCUAGCUGUGCUACGGUGGUGUAGUACAUCUCGACGUAAAGGAACUUCGUCGAGUUCAUCAGCGUUGCUUUGCUUCGUCGUUGAUUGUCAUUGGUUGUCGCGUGUCGUCGGAAAGUACUCGACGACACGGUCUGGGCCAAAAAUUGGACGUUGAACAUCAAACUUGAUCAGACUAUGAUUUCUCUUGGAUUUGAGAAACCCUACUCGAGCAUGCAAUGUACAAGAGAGGUGAAGGAAGGGAUCGUCUACUAGUUGGCAUCUACAAUGACGAUCUAUUGAUUACUAGAGCAGAUGAAGAGGUGAUUGCAAAGUUCAAGCUACAAAUGAAGGAGUUUUUCAAGAUGUAUGAUCUAGUUCUUUGGAGUUGCUACCUCGGACCAGAGGUACAUCAAAAGCCAGAAGGGAUCACACUAUGCCAGGAGGGAUACGCAAGGAAAGUACUUGAAAGCUGUGGCAUGAAAGAUUGCAAUCCAAUUGAUGCUUCAAUGAAACCUCGUCUUGAGCUGAGCAAGAAGAAGAUGGUGAGACUACUCGGCUAUAGUGAUAGUGACAAGGAAGGAAUUGUUGACGACCGUAAGAGUACCUCGGACGUGGCAUGUUUCUUUGGUGGAAGCAUAGUAUGCUGGCUAUCACGAAAGCAGAAAGUGAUGACACCGACUUCAAGUGAAGCAGAGUGUCAAGAUGUGUGGCUAAGGCUACACGAUGAUCUCAUGGAUCGAGAUCCGGAAUAAGUGGUGCUCAAUGUUAAUAAAGAGUCUAUAUUUUUUCUAUGUGAGGAUCCAGUGCGGCAUGAUUGGAGUAAGCACAUUGAUACGAUGUAUCACUACAUGAAGGACUACGUGGGAGAAGAGAAUACGGAGGUCAACUACAAUCGCAACGAUGAUCAGUUGGCGAACAUCCUGACCAAGGCUUUGGAUCGGGAGAAGUUUCUGGAUAUGCAAAGAAGGAUCGGCGUCGAAGCUGUGACAUGAUGACGUCGUGUUUAGGGGGUUGAUUGUUGGAAAUUACCACGACAUGUGUGGUCUGUGUCCGGUUCGUACACAGGACAAUCAUUCGUAGACGUGUAGGUUAUCUUAUCUAAUGUCCCGACUAUUAUAUAUAGGUAGCUAUCCCCUUGUAAGCUGCAACCGCGAGACAGAGAGAUCAAAAGCAAUAAAAGUAUAAGGCUCGACAUGAGCCUUUUGGCCAGCUUGGCGUGUUGUCUCGUGAGACUUGGAGCGACCCAAUUAGCAGUCGGCAACUCGUACAUGCGUACGUAGGAACCAGGUGAGUCCAUCAGGGCUGCUAGCUUCCCAUACGUGAGUUUCUUCAAAUCGAUCAGCUAGCUUGCUAGCUUGCUAGUUGUGCUACGUUGGUGUAGUACAUCUCAACAUAAAGGAACUUCGUCGAGUUCGUCAGCGUUGCUUUGCUUCGUCAUCGAUUGUCAUCAGUCGUCGCGUGUCGUCGGAAAGUACUCGACGACACGGUUUGGGCCAACAGAUGGCACACCGACCGCGUCUGCUUCAGGAAGCUACAGGCUGCAACCUUGUUGUGUGGGAGCAAAGGCAAGCGGUGCAUGGAGCUAUCCAUGGCGCAUCGGAGAGUUGUGGUGGUGAUGCAGGGCGGUGCGCAUGGCAGCAGUGGGCUCCCAGAGGCUGGAGGCUCACCAAGCGAGCAGUAAUGGUCAUAUCAAGGGUGCGACAGUGGGAUCAAAGCGAGGAUACAAGGUUGAUUGCGAUGAGUGAUGUAAUCGCGGUGGUGGAGGAGGCGAGUGUCGAGCACGCUUGACGUCUCCAGCGAUGGGAUUGAGGAAGCUUAACAUAGAGGACGCGUUGGUGCGAUUGCGACACCGGAGGAUGGACGGGACGACGACUCUGCCAUCUCUUGCUUCUCCAGGGGUGUCGCCGGGAGCAGGUGAGCGGCACAUGUGUGUGGCCAACGAGGUCCGAGGGCGGGGGCCAGUUUGCCGAAAGCGUCGGUCAUCGGAUGUCAUGGGCAGCGAGGUCUGGAGGCGCGUGGGUGGGGGCAUUCGUCGAGGAGUGUGAGGCUAGUGGAGUUCAGGGUGCUCCUCGAUGAAUGUCGUCUGAACUUCUCAUUAAAAUAAGGCUGGCCAUAGUGGAAGUAACUAAAGUAGUAUCAUAUACUUGGGACUAGCAAACAUGCCGAUGUGGCAGACAAUUAAAGAAGAGAGAGAGGGUUAGAGUAACAUNNNNNNNNNNNNNNNNNNNNNNNNNNNNNNNNNNNNNNNNNNNNNNNNNNNNNNNNNNNNNNNNNNNNNNNNNNNNNNNNNNNNNNNNNNNNNNNNNNNNAUACCUUGGUUCUCAAACUGAGGGAAAUACUUACCACCGCUGCGCUACAUCACCCUUUCCGCUUCGAGGGAACACCAACGCAAGGCUCCAAGGCCACGGGGGGAAUCCUUUGCAUAUUUGCCUAGGAAGUCCCUCAAGGCGUAGCCGUAGCAGAAGGAUUCCUGGUGCCGUCAACACACCUAUUUCUGGCGCCGUUGGAAGGUCUUUUGUUGCAGUAGCAGAAGUAUUUCUGGCGCCGUUGCCGGGGAAGGAGAGAUCUAUCCAAGUAGGUCUCACAAACUCAUCUCCUGCAUUUACUUUUUUUCCAGUUGCCUCUCGUUUUCCUCUCCCCCACUUCACAUUUCCAUUUUCAUUUGCCUUUCUCCUUUGUCGUUUUCUUUUACCUUUUGCCUUUUUCGUUCGCCCUUUUCUCUCGCUUGCUUUCUGUUCGCUUGUGUGCCAUGUGCCUUCAAUAUGCUUGCAUCUUCGCUUGCUGAAAAUCUAGUGAUAUGGAUCCUCAUCCACUAGCUAAUCGCUUCGAGGGUACAAAGAGUGAUCCAGGAUUGAAUCACUAAACAGCGGUCAAAGUUAUCCUUAGUAACUAGUGGACUAAGGAUUUUUUUCUCGAUUAAGGAGGUGACUAAAGAGUUCGUCGUAAAGGCAUACGUCGAUGCAAGAUUUGACACUAAUCCGAAUAACUCUGAGUAGUAAACCGGAUUCGUAUAGUGGAGCAGUCAUUUGGAAUAGUUCCAAAUGGCACGUAGUAGAAGCAUCUAUAGGAUGACAUAGAGAUUUGUAAAGCACACACGGAUCUGAAAGGUUCAGAUCCGUUGACUAAAAACCUCUCUCACAAGAAAGACAUGAUCGAGCCCCACAAUUGUAUGGGUGUUAGAUUCACUACAAUCACACACUGAUGUGAACUAGAUUAUUGACUCUAGUGCAAGUGGGAGACUGUUCGAAAUAUGCCGUAGAGGCAAUAGUAAAUUGGUUAUUAUUAUAUUUCCUUGUUCAUGAUAAUCCUUUAUUAUCCAUGCUAGAAUUGUAUUGAUUGGAAACUCAAAUACAUGUGUGGAUACGUAGACAACACAUUGUCCCUAGUGAGCCUCUAGUUGACUAGCUCGUUGAUCAAAGAUGGUCAAGGUUUCCUGGCCAUAGGAAAGUGUUGUCACUUGCUAAUGAUAUUGCAUCAUUAGGAGAAUGAUGUGAUGGACAAGACCCAAACUAUAAACGUAGUGUAUGAUCGUGUCAGUUUGUAGCUACUGUUUUCUGCAUGUCAAUGUAUUUGUUCCUAUGACCAUGAGAUCAUGCAACUCCCGGACACCGGAGGAAUACCUUGUGGGUUAUCAAACGUUGCAACAUAACUGGGUGACUAUAAAGGUGCUCUACACGUAUCUCCAAAUGUGCCUGUUGGGUUGGCAUGGAUCAAGACUGGGAUUUGUCACUUCGUGUGCGGAGGGGUAUCUCGGGGCCCACUCGGUAAUACAACAUCACAACAAGCCUUGCAAGCAAUGUGAAUAAGGAGUUAGUUACGGGAUAUUGUAUUACAGAACGUGUAAAGAGACUUGUCGGUAAAGAGGUUGAACUAGGUAUGGAGAUACCGACAAUCAAAUCCCGGGCAAGUAACAUACCGAAGGACAAAGGGAACAACAUACGGGAUUAACUGAAUCAUUGACAUAAAGGUUCAACUGAUAGAGAUCUUCAUAGAAUAUGUGGGAGCCAAUAUGGACAUCCAGGUCCCGCUAUUGGUUAUUGACCAGAGAGUGUCUCAGGUCAUGUCUGCAUAGUUCUCGAACCCGCACGGUCUGAACACUUAAGGUUCGGUGAUGUUUCGGUAUAGUUGAGUUAUGUGUGUUGGUGACUGAAGUUUUGUUCGGAAUCCCGUAUGAGAUCCCGGACGUCACGAGGAGUUCCAGAAUGGUCGGGAAACAAAGAUUGAUAUAUAGGAAGUUGGUAUUUGGAUUCCGGAAGAUUUUCGGGCAUUACCGACACUGUACCGGGAGUGACGAAUGGGUUCCGGGGGCCCACUGGGUGGGCCCACCACGCCCCAAGGGGUCCACGUGGGUUUAUUGGAUGCGCAAUAAGGCAUAAUGGGCUGACAAAGUCAUCCAAGGAAAUCCCAUGAGGAAAAAGUGGAAAAUCCAAAAGUGGUUGAGAAUUAAGGAAGGAGUCCUAAUCCAAGUGGGAUUGGAGGAGGACUCCUCCCUCCUCAACUUCGGCCGACCCAAGGGCUCCUCCCUUGUGGCGCAAGGGCUGCCCCUCCCUCCUCCUAUAUAUACUAGAGAUUUAGGGCUGUUUGAGACACAACUUUGCCACGUGUAACCCUAAACCUCUACUUUGUAGUUCUUCCUCUAGAUCGGUUUUCUGCGGAGCUCGGGCGGAACCCUACAGGAAUAGAUCACCACCACCACUGGAGCGAUGUUGUGCUACCGGGGAACUCAUCUACAUCCCCGUCUCUCUUGCUGGAUCAAGAAGGUGGAGAUCGUCAUCGAGUUGUACGUGUGCGGAACGCGGAGGUGCCGUCCGUUCGGCACUUGAUCGGGACGGAUCACGAGACGGUUCGUGGGACGGUUCAUGAGAUGGAUCGUGAAGACGUACCACUACAUCGACCGCGUUUAUUAAUGCUUCCACUUUGCGAUCUACAAGGGUAUGUGGAUCUGAUCUUCCUCUCGUAGAUGAUCAUCACCAUGAUAGGUCUUCGUGUGCGUAGGAAAUUUUUUGUUUCCCAUGCUACGUUCCUCAACACCGUCUACGGACGAUAACAGACGAUAAAAGAACGACGUCCAUCCUUGCUAUCCCGGGCUGUCGGACUGGACCCCAUCCUAGAUCGAUGAAGAGGAAGAAGAAGAAACUCCAAAUAGCACAAUCAGCGCGCUCACGUCAAAGUAACUCUUUACAUGUACCUGGAACUGGUGUUGUAGUAAUCUGCGUAGAUCAAGACUAGCAAAGCUUAAUGGGUGGGGUAUGGUUAAGUGGUGAGGCUGCACCAAGCGACUAAGCAUUUAUUUGGUGGCUAACUUACGAGUACAAGAAUAAAAGAAGGGGAUGAUCUACGCAUCUCAGACGUGAACACUGUUAAUCAAAUGAAUGAUCCUGAAUACCUACUUACGUCAGACAUAACCCCACCGUGUCCUUGAUCGGAGAAGGAGCUCACGAAAGAGACAGUCACGGUUCUGCACUCGGUUGGCAAGUUUUAAUUAAGUUAACUCCAAGUUAUCUAGAACCGGAUGUUAAACAAAGUUUUCACAUUGCCACAUAACCACGGGCAUGGCUUUUCGAAAGAUUUAACCCUGCACGGGUUCUCCAACUAGUCCAUCAGAAACUACCACACGCAACGAUGGAAUGACCUCGGCCAGGGAAACAUGUGAUCUCCUCGGGUUCCUAUUGGAAAACCUCAACCUCGAGAUAACCCAAAGCAUCCUCGGAAUCCCUCGCACAAGACGCUCUAGAAAGGUAAAACAAGUCCAGCAAGGCCGCCCGAUGUGUCGACAUCCCGAUAGGAUCCGCGUAUCUCAUUCUCAGGACACGACAGAUGAGCUAUGGUUACCACACCAAACGGCGAGUUGCCCCGGGUAGCGUUAAUAAGCUGCUCUGUUUUGGACCGGCACCAUCAACCCUGGCCCUCCCUGUAUUAUGUUGAAUUAAUCCUCGGGUUCAUGACGCCCUAUGUUUUUCAGUAUUAACAGAAUUAUUAUGUUGGGAAAAUAUAGUACCAAUGUUGGGCCUUGCCAGACGAGCUUUAUCCCAAAACGAGAAUCUAGGGGGUCCCCAUAACAACCCCAAGCAUGUUAGGAGUGCUCAUUUAUGGAACAUAACACCGGUAGCCAAAACUAAGGCGGCAAAGGUGGAAUAAAACACCAGGCUAGAAAGGCCGAGCCUUCCACCUUUUACCAAGUAUAUAGGUGUAUUAACUUAAAUAACAAUUAAUAUGGUGAUAUAACAAGGAACCCAUGUUUUCACAUGGAAGCAACUGCACCUGCAACUAGCAACUCUAACGCAUGGUUAAGCAAGCAGUAACAUAGCCAAACAGUGGUUUGCUAGGUUGUGAACAGGUUGAAGGUUUUCAUGGCAAUGUUGGGAGGCAUGUUAAACAGGUGGUAGGCAGCGAGACAUAACAAUAGAAAUGAUACAACUAGCAUGGCAAUGAUAGUAAUGAUAUCUAGGGAAAUGAUCAUCUUGCAUGAGAUCCUGCAUGGAAGAAGAAUGACUGCGUGAAGCAGACGAACCGAAGUAGUCGAACGGAUCCUCACAUUCCGACACACUUGCGGAACUCUAUCGAGACAAAGCAAACCGGAAACAAGAAUCAACACACAAUAUUCACCAGGCACAUGCACGACAUGAUGCACAACACAUAUGAUGCAUGAUCAGUUUCAAAUAUGCAAGGCAUGGCAUGACAAUCACAACAGUCAAACGCUACACAUUAAGUGAAGCUCAAUAUGCAAUGAGUUGCAUAUUGAUGAAACUGCACAUUUAAUUAUUUAGUGCGCUCCCGUUUAUUUACAUGACAAUAUUAAAUGUUGUUAACAUGGCAAGGGGUGAAGCUCAAAUUAAUCUACCUAUGUAUGCAUUUUAAAUGAGGCCGAAAAUGACAUAUAGCAUCUCCGAAAUGCCCCCGCGCGUUAAAUUUUAAUUCUGUCCAGAUUUGUCCUAAUCACAUUUUAUGUUUGUUGAACGGAAAAACCAAGUGGUUCAUGUGAUUCUACUCAUCGUUCUAGUCCAUUUACAUAUAUGGUUCACCUCCAACGGAGCUACGGUUAAUUAACUACAACCUAAACCGUUUCUAUCGUGUCGACACGCAAACCGAUGCAAACAACACACAUAACAACUCUAAAUAUACAUGAGAGUUGGAAAAUAUUAAUCUCCGUGAAAUUAUAGCUAAGUUACAUAUCUAACUUGUCGCGAUCCGACGCACGGAAUAGAAAUUACGGGGUUUGAAAAUAUGCUCUGUUCCAAAAUUAAAUAAAUUCGCAAAACUACAAAAACACUAACGGGCCGAAACUAGAUCUGGCCCAAAACAGGACAUGGGCGCAAUACAGUUAUACUACGCACAUGCGCAAAAUAGAGGGCUCAAUGGAGGCUCACCUUCGGGCCUUCAGGCCGGCUGGAGGAGAGGCUGAGGUGGGCCGAGGGACGCAGCCAGGCACUGGGCCGCUUGGCGGCGCGCGAGGCCUGCGGAUCUAGGCCCCGGAGACAGCGCGGGGCUGGGCCUGGUUGCACCGCUAGGCAUGGCCCAAGCCAGCACUCGAGCGGCGGUCAACAGGGCUCGACCAGCUCAUCUCCUACCUUCGGCAAAGGAUGAACUUGGCUGAGUUGGUGGGCACCUCCGGCGGGCAGCGACGAGGACCGGCGGGGAUGGCCAGAAUGGGCGAAGAUUCGUCGGAUCUGGGCGAGGGGGUGCCAUCCCCGACGACGGACAGGGCCAUCGGCGAGUUCCGAGCAGCAGUGGGGCAUGAUGCGGGUAGGCAGCGGCUCGGCGGGGCCUCAGCCGGCGGCGGCGCUCCGGGAUAGCUCCGGUGGCUGGCGGGCAUCUAGGAGGAGGCACGUGGAACGGAUCGGUGGCCCACAGCGGCUGGCGCAAGGAGUUGUGGGAGGCCUCGGAUACUGCUGCUGGCUUGGGGNGUGGGAGUGGCAGCUGGUUGUUGGGGGGCACGAAAAACGAGGCUAGAGUUAGGGUUUGGUCAGUUAGGAAGGGUUAGCCUUCCUUUUAUAGCCGGGGUAGCUAGGGUUUGCUAUUUGGGGUGUUUUCGGACCCUCCGAUCUCGAUUGGACGGCUCUGGUUUUGCCCUAGGGUUAGGUGGUUGUGUUAGAGGGGUUAGGUGGGGAAGAGAGGGAAAAAUUGUGUGGUCGUGACUGAGUUUUAUAAACCAAAAACCUCCGAUGAUAAACCGAAGACGGUGUCGCUAUGAUCGACCGUUCGGCUAUCAGACAGACUCUGAUUGCGACGAAAUUUGGCAGGCGGUCUACCUACACUAUAUUAAGACGGCACGCCAAGUUAACCCAAUCCGAGAAUAUUUUAUAUGCACUUUUCAAAAAUAAUAUUUUUAACGGUGUCGCGGGCGCGUGCGUGUGUGGUUGGUCUCAAAACGGUCUAUGACGAAAACAGAGAGAACCAGCAACUACUAACAAAUGCAGGUUUUGAAAACUGGCGCAACACAGUGUCGAUGCAAUGAAGAUGAUGCGCCUGAUGCAAUGAUGAAUGCGACAGACAAACGAACCACACGACGAGAACGGAAUUAAAAAAAGGGAAUCUUGUGGAGCAUCGGUCUCGGGUUGUCAGAAAAGCACUGCCCCCUACCCUAAUAUACCCCCCUAGCCCUGGCGGCAUGGUAGUACCAUGGUCAUCGCGGUAGUACUGCUUGGCCAGCGGUAGUAAAUUUUUACUACCUCUCGCUGGGCAGUAGUACCGCUCUUCGAGCGGCAGUAAAAUUUUACUAUCGUGCCUGGAGCGGUAGUACUAUGCCCUCUUCAAAAAAUACACUUUGAACUUUGCCAGAAUAAGAGAAAAGGUGUAGGAAAGCCCAAGAUAAGAUAAAAUAAUGAAACAAGCACAAAACAUGAACAUAGAACUGAAUCUUCUGACGAAGAGAGGGCGGUGGCCGGAGCCACCAAUGUUUGAGACAAAUGCUAUGACACCACAAAGAAUUAUCCUUGGGUUCAUGACCAAAGCUCGUCUUUGAAGCACAAGUGCAAUCAACAAUGGCUAAGGUGAAAGACGUGAUCAAUUUAUGCAUAAUGGGGGGAGGGAAAGUUCAUUGAGAGAACAACACUCCCCCUCCUUGCUUGAUAUGAUCUCGAAUGAAAUGAUGACGAAUAUCAAUAUGCUUGGUCUUGCUAUAUUGCACCGGAUUGAGAGAUAUCUUGAUGGCACUUUCAUUGUCACAUAUAAAAGGCACUUUGUCACAAUUGACAACCUAAUCCUUUAAAGUUUGCCCCAUCCAUAAUUAUUUAGCACAACAACUUGCGGCAGCUACAUACUCGGCCUCGGUGGAAGAAAGUGACACACAGUUUUGCUUCUUCGAAGACCAACUUACCGAAGAGUGACCAAGGAAUUGGCAUCCUCCAGAAGUUGACUUCCUUCCCACACGGUCUCCAGCCCAAUCCGAGUCAGAGUAACCUACUAGACUAAAGCUUGCUCCUUUGGGGUACCAUAAAGCCAAAGUUUGGGGUAUGAGCCAAAUAUACAAAGACUCGUUUGACUACCCCAUAGUGGAUUUCCUUUGGUGCGGAUUGAAACCGUGCACAAAUUCCCACACUCAACAUGAUAUCUGGUCUAGAUGCACAAAGAUAAAGCAAGGAUCCAAUCGUGGAGCGAUAUACAUUUUGAUCCACUGCUUUACCAUUGGGAUCAUUGUCAAGCUUGCAUUUGGUUGGCAUGGUAAAUUUGGCAAGCUUGACGUCCUCGAGCUUGAACCUUUUGAGCAUGUCUUGAGUGUAUUUGGCUUGUUUGAUGAAUGUUCCUUCUCUUCCCUGUUUGAUCUCAAACCCAAGAAAGAACUUCAACUCUCCCAUCAUAGACAUCUCAAACUUCUCGGUCAUUAGUGUAGCAAACUCUUCAUUGAAAGAUGCGUUAGGAGAACCAAUAAUAAUAUCAUCAACAUAUAGUUGGCAUAUGAACAAAUCCCCUUUUACCUUUUUGGUAAAAAGGGUGGGAUCAAUUUUCCCAAUUUCAAACCCACGAUCUUGCAACAACUCGGUAAGGUACUCAUACCACGCACGUGGGGCUUGUUUAAGGCUGCAGAGCGCCUCCUUGAAUUUGUAUACAUGAGUGGGGAACUUGGGAUCCUCGAAUCCUGGGGGUAGUUUGACAUAUACCUGCUCAUUUAAGGGACCAUUAAGAAAAACACUCUUCACAUCCAUUUGUUGCAACUUAAAAUCAUGAUGAGAAGCAAAUGCAAGCAACACGCGAAUAUAUUCAAGACGAGCAACAGGGGCAAAGGUUUCACCAUAGUCGAUACUCUCGACUUGGGAGUAUCCUUGAGCCAUCAAUCUUGCCUUGUUUCGAAUGACAACACCAUUUGCAUCCUUCUUGUUCUUAAAUAUCCAUUUGGUUCCAAUGACAUUAUGUUCCUCCGUUGUCCUUGGCACUAAUUCAAAAACUUGAUUGUGCUCGAAGUUGUUAAGUCCAUCAUGCAUGGCUUCAAGCCAAUCCUCAGCAUCGAGCGCAUCAUGUACCUUUUGGGGUUCAACACACGAAACAAAGGCAUGAUGCAAACAAAAGUUUGACAAUUGUUGACGAGUAGUUACCCCCUUAUUGAAGCUUCCAAGCACAUUCUUGAAGAUAUGUUGUCGAACCCAGAGCCUGUUAGCUAUCUUGGCGGCGCAGCGCUUCAAUACUUCCUUACUGGGUAAUUUAGGAGCGUCUUCUUGAACAUCUUGAGCACUGUCUUGAACUUGCUCACUAGUUUUCCCUUGAUACUGUGGUUGCACUUGAUCUUGAGCAAACUCCGAGUCUUGAGCAUGAACUUCGACAUCAUUUGGUGCAACACCAUCUUCAUGAGGUUAAUCUUGUCCUUGAUCUUCUUCAUCGGGUUCAGGGCCUUCACUUUGUUCUCCGGAAGCGUGUGGGUCUAGAGAGGGUGAUGGCUCCACUUGAGUAGAGCAUUGUCCUUCUCCUUCGGCCACAAGGGGUUCCUCAAUGUGGAGUAUUUGACCAAUCCCCAUUCUUCUUAUGGCUUGAGGAGGAAUUUCAUCACCUACAUCACAAAGACCACUUUUCUCCACUUGGCAGCCAUUAUUUUCAUCAAACUCUCUGUUACACGUCUCCUCAGUGAGUCCGGUGGACUUGUUGAGAACACGGUAAGCAUGAGAGUUUUUAGCAUAACCAACAAAUAUGCCCUCAUGACCUCUAGCUUCGAAUUUAGGCAAACGAACACCUUUCUUGAGUAUGAAACACUUACAACCGAACACCCGGAAAUACUUGAGGUUGGGCUUAUUCCCGGUAAGAAUCUCAUAUGGAGUCUAGUUCAACCCCUUGCGGGGGUAGAGCCGAUUGGAUGCAUAACAUGCGGUGUUAAUUGCUUCGGCCCAAAAGUUGUACGGAGAUUUGAAUUCCGUCAUCCUGGUUCUUGCCGCGUCCAUCAAUGUUCGGUUCUUCAUUUCCGCCACACCGUUUUAUUGAGGGGUAUAGGGUGCUAAAUAUUGGUGCUUGAUCCCCACGUCACUAAGGAACUCAUUCAAGGUGUAUUUAUUGAACUCGAUGUCGUUGUCACUUCUAAUCAUCAAUAUCUUUGCUUCAUGUUGACGUUGAGCUUCAUUAGCAAAGUCAAUGACAGUUUGUUGAGUAUAACUCUUCCUCUUGAAGAAGUAUACCCAAGUGUAUCUUGAGUAGUCAUCCACAAUCACCAAGAAAUAAUAUCUUCCCCCAAGACUAUCAAAAGAUGAAGGACCAAAGAGAUCCAUAUGAAGGAGCUCCAAGGGCCUUUUCGAGUAGAUGAUAGUUGUGGGACGGUGAGCCGUUUCAUGAAGCUUUCCUUCAAUACAAGCACUGCCAGCACGGUCUGUGGCAAAACUCACAUUUGUUAGUCCAAGAACAUGGUCCCCUUUGAGGAUACUUUGCAAAGAUUUCAUAUUUACAUGAGCUAGCCUGCGAUGCCAAAGCCAACCCACAUCAACUUUCGCCAUUAGACAAGUCAUGAUCUUAGUAGGUUGCUCCGAAAAGUUCACCACAUAGAGACCGUUCUUGACACGUCCAACAAAGGCUACUUUAAGAGUCUUGCUCCACAAAAGGGCCAUGGUAUCAAGAUUAAAGAAUGUGGCAAAGCCCAUAAUUGCAAGAUGACGAACGAAAAGCAAAUUGUAUGCAAGGGACUCAACAAGCAUGACCUUCUCUAUAGGUAAAUCUUCACAGAUGACCACCUUGCCAAAUACCAUUACCUUAGAUGUUGAGGCAUCAGCAAAUUGGACAUGGGUGGGCACAAAUGGAAUGUGACGCACAUCCACCACCAAGUCCUUGCUCCCGGUCAUAUGAUUUGUGGCUCCACUGUCGAGCAACCAUGACACUCCACCGGAAGCAAAUUCCUACAAGAGAUCAAUGCUUGGAUUUAGGUACCCAUUCUUGAAUGGGUCCUUUGAUGUUAGAAACAAGGUUCCUAGGAACCCAAAUAACCCAUUCAAUGUACUCAUAAUGAGAACCAACAAAUUUAGCAUAAACAUGCCCAUCACUAGCACGACAUAAAACAUAAUAGGGGUUAAAGUCACCCGCUUUGUUGGUACAGGUGGUUUUGCUCUUCUUGGCAUUAUCACCCCUUCCUUGUUCUUCAUCUUCUUAUGAGUACUCUCACCCUCUUUGACAAAAAUGUCCUUGAGAGGGGAAGAUAGGUUGGUCUUGUUCUUCUUUUUCUUCUUAGACGUGCAAACCCAAGUCCCUUCUUUCCUACAACUUCCUUUUGAUUACUCAAAAGGUCAUUUAGGUUCUUCUCACCUUGGAUGCAUCUCACAAGGCCCUUUUCGAGUUGUUCUUUAACCUUAGCAUUUCCUCCACAAGAUGCACAUGCUCACAACAAGGGUUAGUAGCACAAGCAUUAUCAAUUAGAACAAAAGGAGGACAAGUAGAAAUCUCCUUGGUUAGUUUUACUUGGAGUUGAUCAUGAGACUCCUUAAGAGAGGAAUGAACACCUUUCAAGACCUUGUGGGCCUUGUCAAGUGUGUCAAAUUCUUCCUUGAGUCUAUCAUGGCCAAUCCCAAGUGUAACUUUCUCAUAUUUAAGCACACGGGUAAGAACAAGAGCAUGAUCAAGAUAUUUUUGCAAUUUAGCAUGAUCAACAUUGUGUGACUCCUCAAGAGCCAAACGAAGAGGGCGCUCUUAUUUUAAAGCAAUGGAUAGUUCUGCUAUCUCAUCGGCGUAAUCACGACUAUGUCCCACCAACUUGGAGAUAGUCUCCUCAUGAGACUCGAUGAGAUCAUUGGCCUCACCAAGUUGUUCCAAAAGAGCAAUAAAGUGUUUUUUGAUCUCACCUUUGAUCUUACACAUGAAUUUGUCAAACUCAUUUUCAUCAAGCUCCACUACUUCACUAUCAUCAACACAGUUUAACAAUGAAGGAGAGGUAGUGAUAGUGGUCUUGAUGUUGGGGGUUACCUUAUUUGUACCUUUGGCCACGAGGCACUUGGCGAUGCGGAUCUCGUUGGUGGCAUCGAAGAGAGACAUCUUGGGGGAGGAAGUGGCAAUGGCCACGGUAGUCGUUGCCAUCCCCUCAUGGCAUGUAUCAUCAUUUUCAUCAUCGGAGGUGUACUCUUCAUGAGCCACCAAACCCCUUGGANNNNNNNNNNNNNNNNNNNNNNNNNNNNNNNNNNNNNNNNNNNNNNNNNNNNNNNNNNNNNNNNNNNNNNNNNNNNNNNNNNNNNNNNNNNNNNNNNNNNUUAGUAGGCCGUGCGCUUUGUCGUCUGCCAACAGACGAUGAAUAAUGUUUGCCGUGUGCUGGCAGUCGGCAAAAAAGCAAGUCGGAUGACCUAACCAGGUCUAGGGCCCAAUGGGCACAGUUGGGUCCUUUGCCAUCUACUUUUGGGCUUUUUGCUGUCCGCUAGCAGAUGGCAAAGAAAGGCAUGACGUCAAAUACGUUAUUUGCCAUUAGUCCCUUCUUUGUCGUCUGCUUUUUGUAAGCUGAUGGCAAAAACCGUCUUUGUCGUCCGCUAGCACACAACAAAGAAGUGAUAGACGGAAAAUUUCCUGAUUCUAGUAAUGACUCGAAAAUUCCGAGAUGAAAUCAAUAGGCAAUAGAAGGUUGGUAUGUGCUCUUCGAUGGGACUGAGUUGUUAGGGUUUAAGUAGUCGCUCGAUCAAGUGUAACUCGGAGAAUCUAGUGUUUCUCGUGGGUCUGAUUUGAAUUUUGGAUUUUGGACAGGUAAGAAUGUAAGGGUGAAUGUAAGGGUGUGGCUGNNNNNNNNNNNNNNNNNNNNNNNNNNNNNNNNNNNNNNNNNNNNNNNNNNNNNNNNNNNNNNNNNNNNNNNNNNNNNNNNNNNNNNNNNNNNNNNNNNNNAUAUAAGCCACCCCCCUCCACAUAGCUAGGGACAUUUUCUUCUUCUCCCCCAGCGGGCUCAUUCCUUCCCUAGAGCUCUAGCUCUCUCUCUAUACCUUGUAACUCAUGUCCAUGACAGAUAAAACAAAGUCUCGCCAGAGCACGAGACGUAGGGUUGUUAUCUCCACUGUGAGAGGCCUGAACUCGCAAAAACCACUGUGUCACCCAUGUGCAUCUUGAUAGAUCAUGCUUCGCUAUCCUACCCUCUUUCUAUUGUCGGAAUCGUUACCACAACAGUUAGGAAAACCAAAAAAGUCAUGAGGUUCUCUUCGGCUCAUGUUGGGGUUCACUUCCUCAUUUGAUGUGGUUCCGUCGCGGUCCACUCUUGUUCAUAAAAAGUUAGAAUAAAUGACAAAACAGAAAUAAUGAAGUUCGCUUGACUGUGUGAUGUAGUGCGCCUUUCCGUCAAAAAGGAGUGCGCUCUUCUAUCCGAUGUGAUUCACGCGUCGGUUUUUUACCGUGAAAAACAGAGUGUCCGUGUUUCGGUAAAACCAAAACUGCUCUUAAAUCGUAAGGAAUAAGNNNNNNNNNNNNNNNNNNNNNNNNNNNNNNNNNNNNNNNNNNNNNNNNNNNNNNNNNNNNNNNNNNNNNNNNNNNNNNNNNNNNNNNNNNNNNNNNNNNNUGCCAGAGCCGCGCGUGGCGACAAUUUAGCGGCCGGCACCAGAGGCCGUGCAAGGCGACGAUGAAGCGGACGCCGCCGGCGGCGAGAAAUCGAUGUGCCACUUGUGGUUGAAGAAAAAUAACCAUAUGCAUCAUGGCUCAAUAGACGCUAUGCGCCACGGUGGGCGCCAACUGUCGUGGUAACGAUUCCGACAAUAGAAAGAGGGUAGGAUAACGGAGCAUGAUCUAUCAAGAUGCACAUGGGUGACACGGUGGUUUUAGCGAGUUCAGGCCUCUCACAGUGGAGAUAACAACCCUACGUCUCGUGCUCCGGAGAGGCUUUGUUUUAUCUGUCAUGGACAUGAGUUACAACGGAUAGAGAGAGAGCUAGAGCUCCAGGGAAGGAAUGAGCCCGCUGGGGGAGAAGAAGAAGAUGUCCCUAGCUAUGUGGAGGGGGGUGGCUUAUAUAGAGUGCGCCACCUCCUCACCUCUUAUGUUACAAGAUGGGGCAUUGAUGCCAUAAUGUCAGCCCACUACAGAUGUCUUGCCGACUGUUGGUAUCCGCAUGACCGAGUGAGUCAUACGGCCGAGUGGUUGACUGUCAUCCGAGUGGAUGGAAUGUNNNNNNNNNNNNNNNNNNNNNNNNNNNNNNNNNNNNNNNNNNNNNNNNNNNNNNNNNNNNNNNNNNNNNNNNNNNNNNNNNNNNNNNNNNNNNNNNNNNNUCUCAUCUAUCUUCUUGCACUCGUUGUGUGUGUCUAUUAAUUCUGGGGGAGCAACGAUCCUAUUUUGUGCACCUAUGUCAAAUACAAAAAUCUCAUAUUAGUGCACAAAUCAUGGGGAGCUUCUCUAGUUUUUGAUAAAGCACUAUGUUGCCUCUAUCAUAAUAUCUUUUAUUCAUGUGGUUCGAAGGACCAUAUGAUUGUGUGUUCCAUCUGGAAUUCUUUGAUUGCUUGCCUCCAUCUUUGUAUGUCUUUGUGGCAUACGAUCCUUUUAUUUGCAAUCUUUGGGUCCUCAAUAUAGUUUGUUUUCCUCCAACUACUUAUCAUUGUAUUUGUGUAUUUUUCUGCACUCAUUUGCUGAGAAGUACACACUUUUUGGAGGACCACCUACUAUUUUGGCUUUCUAAACUUGUCGUCCAUUUUGGCAAUCGAUGCCAAUGGGGGAGAAGUUUAGAGAGUUUACUUUGGAUAUGUUUAGAGGGUUUUGCUUUUAUUGCGUAAGCAUUUACAUCUUGCACACAUGCAUUAUUACCUUGUAUGUGUGCGCUUGGUUAUGCUUAUUUCUUUACAUAAACUCUCUUGAAGUGGUUGUCUUCAAUUACCAAANNNNNNNNNNNNNNNNNNNNNNNNNNNNNNNNNNNNNNNNNNNNNNNNNNNNNNNNNNNNNNNNNNNNNNNNNNNNNNNNNNNNNNNNNNNNNNNNNNNNUGGGAAAGGUCACCACAUGGUAAGAACCCAAAACCAAGCACUUCUCCCAUUGCAAGAAUCAUAGAUCUAGUUGGCCAAACAAAACCCAAGACUCGGAGAGACUUACGAGGAUAUCAAAUCACGCAUAUAAGGAAUCAGCAAAGACUAAAAAAUAUAUCAUAGAUAAUCUGAUCACAAAUCCACAAUUCAUUGGGUCUCGACAAACACACCGCCAAAGAAGAUUACAUCGGAUAGAUCUCCAUGAAGAUCAUGGAGAACUUUGUAUUGAAGAUGCAAGAGAGAGAAGAAGCCAUCUAGCUACUAACUACGGACCCGUAGGUCUGAAGUGAACUACUCACGAGCCAUUGGAGGGGCGAUGAUGAUGAUGAAGAAGCCCUCCAACUCCAAAGUCCCCUCCGGCAGGGCACCGGGAAGGGUCUCCAGAUGAGAUCUCGCGGAAACGGAAGCUUGCGGCGUCGGAAAAGUAUUUUCGUGGAUCCCCCGAUUUUUUGUUGUAUUUUAGGGAAUAUAUAGGCCAAGGAUCUAGGUCAGGGGGUGGCCAGGGAGGCCACAAGCCCUGCCACCGCCGCCUCCCCCUGGUGGCGUAGUGGGGGCUUGUGGGCUCCCAGGAGUCGUCCUGGCUUNNNNNNNNNNNNNNNNNNNNNNNNNNNNNNNNNNNNNNNNNNNNNNNNNNNNNNNNNNNNNNNNNNNNNNNNNNNNNNNNNNNNNNNNNNNNNNNNNNNNGAAUUUCCCUUGUAGUCCUUAAACUAAUAAUGAGGUGCCUUUGGGUAGGACGUAUUGGUCAGACCUAUGACCCUACCCUAGGGCUAUAUCCCCGUCAUUAGCCCCCGAAUGGAUCAGGGUCCGAGUGGUGAAGGUGUCGAUGUAAAUUUUGUAGCAGCAGACCAAACUUGAAUGUGCUUCAGGGCCUUGCAAAAUUAUGCGUUGAUUGAAGCCUUCAUCAUUCGCCCUGAUCGAUUCCGCUGAGUAGUAUGUCCGAGUGAACUUAAGAACUGAAGUAGAUCCGAGUGACCAACAGGAUCUUGAGACUUUGACUGACUGCUGGUAGUCGGUUCGAAUCUGUUGAAUCUGUUGAACUUGGAUGUUGUUGGUGGACCUGACCAAGCAGAAUGUUUCUUUUUUGUAUUUCUCUUCCUGUGGGGGCACGCUUAGUGCACCCACUGGGUGUAGUCCCCGAGCCUCUGUCGGACUAGAUGAGUCUGGCAGAGGGUUUAAGACUUCCAGCGCUUGUCGUGUUGAAUGUUUGUUGAAUCUGCAUUAUAUGAUUUCUAGAUCAAAGUCAAGUCUCCGAGUGUAUUUUUUAACUUAGACGAUACGGGGUCGCAGCUAAGUUCCCGAGUGUGGAGCGUGUCUGUACUCGGAGUAGUUUUUACUUAGGUGAUACAGGGUCGCAGUGAAGCCCCCGAGUGUGGAGCUUGUCCGCAGUAAGAGUUGUUUUUAACUUAGGCGAUACGGAGUCGCAACUAAGCNNNNNNNNNNNNNNNNNNNNNNNNNNNNNNNNNNNNNNNNNNNNNNNNNNNNNNNNNNNNNNNNNNNNNNNNNNNNNNNNNNNNNNNNNNNNNNNNNNNNGUUCCUUUGACGUUAGUUGUGCGGAGUGAUGAUCAGCGAAUAAAAGUAUACACUCAAGUAUGGAUCAUCAGUACUCUUUUAUGAUUCUUGAGUCCUUAGGGAUCCCGCACUAUUAAGAGGGGAUCACAGGUUUUGCGAUGAACUUGCUCAAACUACAUCAUCACUUUCUGCUCAGACCACAUCUCCACUCCUUUGCUGUUAUCUGUAAACAGAACAAGUGCCUCGGACAUUCGGCUUCCUCCCGAUGUCCGAGGGCCGGACGACCGACUCCCUCGGAAAUCCGGAAUCCUAUACCAGAGAAAUCAGAGCCAUUUAACUCAGACUUCCGACUCCCUCCGGACGUCCGAGGCCCGGAUGUCCGGCCAAGUCCUGGAAAUCCGGAAGCCUGCACCAGUAGAAGUUGAGUUCUAUAUCUCGGUAAACCGACUCCCUCCGGACGCUCGAGGGCCGGACGUCCGGCCAGGUUCCGGAAAUCCGGAGGUCAACACCAGUAGAAUAUGUGCACUAUAUCUCGGAAAUCCGGCUUCCUCCGGAUGCCCGACCACCGGAUGUCCGGCACUCAUCGGAAAUCCAGAAGCCACCACCAGUAGAACUUGUGCUGUAUAACACGGACUUCCGGGCCACUCCGGACGUCCGUAUACUGAUGAAUUCAAAUAUGUUCAAGCACACCUACAGGCCUCGGACGACCGACCCCUGUCGGAUGUCCGGUCGCUAUUUAAUUCAAAAUAGUUUCAGUCGUAUCUACAGGCCCCGGAUGACCGACCCCUGUCGGACGUCCGACCCCUCGCGGUCGCCCGGACUUCCGACAACUGUCGGACGUCCGGACCCUGUGUGACUUAAAGUGUCCCCAACGGCUCUUUUUCUCUCCANNNNNNNNNNNNNNNNNNNNNNNNNNNNNNNNNNNNNNNNNNNNNNNNNNNNNNNNNNNNNNNNNNNNNNNNNNNNNNNNNNNNNNNNNNNNNNNNNNNNGAAAUGUGUUCUUAUGAGGAUAAGGCUGUGUUGGGCAACCCUCUCACGAAGUGGGAGGGGGGUAUUUAUAGAGUGGAGAGAAAAAGAGCCGUUGGGGACACUUUAAGUCACACAGGGUCCGGACGUCCGACAGUUGUCGGAAGCCCGGGCGACCGCGAGGAGUCGGACAUCCGACAGGGGUCGGUCGUCCGGGGCCUGUAGAUACGACUGAAACUAUUUUGAAUUAAACAGCGACCGGACGUCAGACAGGGGUCGGUCGUCCGAGGCCUGUAGGUCUGCCUGAACAUAUUUUAAUUCAUCAGUAUACGGACGUCCGGAGUGGCCCGGAAGUCCAUGUUAUACAACACAAGUUCUACUCGUGGUGGCUUCUGGAUUUCCGAUGAGUGUCGGACAUCCGGUGGUCGGGCAUCCGGAGGAAGCCGGAUUUCCGAGAUAUAGUGCACACAUUCUACUGGUGUUGACCUCCGGAUUUCCGGAGCCUGGCCGGACAUCCGGCCCUCGGGCGUCCGGAGGGAGUCGGAUUACCAAGAUAUAGAACUCAACUUCUACUGGUGCAGGCUUCCGGAUUUCCGGGACUUGGCCGGACAUCCGGGCCUCGGACGUCCGGAGGGAGCCGGAAGUCCGAGUUAAAUGGCUCUGAUUUCUCUGGUAUAGGAUUCCAGAUUUCCGAGGGAGUCGGUCGUCCGACCCUCGGAUGUCCGGAGGAAGCCGGAUGUACGAGGCACUGGUUCUAUUUACAUAUAACAGCAAAGCAGGGGAGAUCUGGUGUGAGCAGAAAGUGAUGAUGUAGUUUGAGCAAGUUCAUCGCAAAAGCUGUGAUCCCCUCUUAAUAGUGCGGGAUCCCUAAGGACUCAAGAAUCAUAAAAGAGUAUUGAUGAUCCAUACUUGAGUGUAUACUUUUAUUCGCUGAUCAUCACUCCGCACAACUAACGUCAAAGGAACNNNNNNNNNNNNNNNNNNNNNNNNNNNNNNNNNNNNNNNNNNNNNNNNNNNNNNNNNNNNNNNNNNNNNNNNNNNNNNNNNNNNNNNNNNNNNNNNNNNNAGUUAGAAUACAGUACCUUAUGCAAUAAUUAAAUAUGAAUAAAUUUACAACAAUAACUAAAGUUUAUGAUUUGCCUAUUAUACUAAUGGAUCUUGUCGGAGUCUUGGAUCCGCGUCCAAGAAACUCUCUCAAGAACUAGGGUUCGAACACUGGGGGGCUUUGCUUGGCAACCUACGACACGAUGACAACUACGACGAGGUCGACAACGAGCUCAUUCAAUCUCACCGCACACGCCGGGGAUGCACGAGCUACCCAGGUUUGGGCCACCGUGCAAUGUAAUAAACUACUCCUGCGUGUGUUGGAUUGCCUUGCAAUAGAGGGCUUGUGGCUCUAGGUAAACGAAAAAGUGAGGGGGGGGGGGAAUGGGUUGAUCCCCUUACAUGGAAGUGGCACUGCCCCUCUUGUAGUGCCUUGGUCCUCUUCCCUAAAAAUAUGAGAGGGAAAGGGUGGCCACAGGGCGGCAAUUCAAAGAAGGAAAAAAGCGCAGGCCUAUCCUGACUAAAGGUGGUCUUCGCGUGCUAAAGUAGCCAUUCUGACGCGCCGGUCAACUUGGUGACGACCUCCAUCCUAGCGAGCCGCGUCAGCAUGGUCGUCUUUCACCGGAAUGACAAGCUUUGGGAACCUCUUUUGGGGGAGGCUGCGAGUUGUGCACUUUAAUCACCAAAGAGAAAAUCCUUCCUAUUCGUGCCUGCUGGUACAACCUCUGUCGUCCUGGUCCGCUCGGGUGCGUCACCCACAUGAUGGGUAAAAUUUCUCCCUAAGUGGUUUUGGUGAUUGAUGACAAUGCGAGUGCGGACUAAUCAUGUGCAUUGAGCAUUUCAGAUAAUUCAUGACUAGGCACAAGACGAUUCGGUGCCCCUCGGAGUCUUUCAAAGACGGUUGCUUUCUACGUUUCUGUUUGGUGGAUUUGAGUAGUAGCAAAGCCAUACUAUUAAGAGGGGGUCCGCUUCGGAAAGGUUUGGGUGGAAUCUACGCGUACACAUUUCCAUUGCACCACUUUUCCCUUGCUUCAAUGGAGCUCCAACAUGUUUUCCCUAUAUGUGCAAAAGGGCCAGCGGUAGUACCGCAGGCACAACGGUAGUACCGCCCGCUCUCUAGGCGGUAGUAGUUUUUUACUACCGCUCCGUCGGACUUUUUACGCAUCCUUUUGCCUCAGCUUUGGUAGGCAUGGUAGUAAUUUAUUACUACCAUGGUUGGUGAACUACCAUGUGGUAGUACCGCUCCUAGCAGCGGUAGUACCGCUCCUGGCAGUGGUAGUACCUCUCCUAGCANNNNNNNNNNNNNNNNNNNNNNNNNNNNNNNNNNNNNNNNNNNNNNNNNNNNNNNNNNNNNNNNNNNNNNNNNNNNNNNNNNNNNNNNNNNNNNNNNNNNUAACUAUUGGUUUCUUGGAUUGAUGGCAUUGGUGCAGGUACUCCAGAGUCCAUCCAACACAAUCUUGAAUGGUUCUAGACUUGAUAAAGCCAUAGUGAUUCUUGUGAAUACACUUCAUGAUCUGCAACUGCAACCUGUUGGCUAUCAUUUUGGACAGAAACUUGAGGCCCAUCCCAGUGAGGGAUAUUGGUCUGUAGUCUCCCACUUGCUCAGGUGAUCUCUUCUUGGGAAUCAAAGUAAUAUAAGAUGAGUUCAUGUUCUCAAGUUGAGCAUUACCAGCAUGAAAGGCAGCAGCAAGUUGGUAAAACUCAGGAGAGAUAAUGGACCAACAUUUCUUGAAGAAAAGGCCAUUGAAACCAUCAGGUCCAGGAGCCUUGUCAAUUGGCAUUUCCUGAACAGUCUUGUCCAUUUCAGACUUAGAAAAAGGUUGUGUGAGAAUAUCAAGACCCUCCACCUUCUGAAGCAGAGAUUGUAAAUCAAAGGCCAUGUUAAUUCCAAGGGAAGUUCCCAUUCUAUCCUUAAAAGAUGCCCAAAAGCAUGCAACAAUUCGAUCAUGAUCAGAUAUGAUGGAUCCAUCAUUUAACUUGAGUGAUGCAAUGGAGUUCCUCCUAUAUCUCUCAGUUGCCAUAGCAUGAAAGAAUUUGGUGUUUUCCUCACCAACUUUAACAAAUCUGAUAGUGGCUCUCUUUUUCCAGUAUAAGCACUGAAGAGGCAAUAGGUGCUCCAAGUGUAAUUUAAUAAUACUCCUGAAGUUAGCUUCAGGUCUGAAAAGGGGCCUCAAUUUCUCAAGCUCAUCCAAACACAACACAACUUGAUUGCAUCUGGAGAUGAAAAUUUUCAGCUGUGAUAAGUUUGUCUGCCAUCUUUUCAGAGCCUGCCUGAGAUGUUUCAUCUUAUCCAUAAUGACAGCAGUAAUAUGGGCUUUCUUGGAAGGAAUGACCCAGGACUGUUGAACACACUCCAUGAAGCCCUCCAUUUCAACCCAGUAGUUUUCAAACCAAAAUAGGUUGCACUUAGGGAUGGAAGUGUUGACAGUGACCACACAUGGAACAUGAUCGGAAGCUGUCUUUGCAAGGGGGAGCACUUGUGUAAGAGGAUAUGAAGAGAUCCAGUUGGCUGAUGUGAAGAACUAGUCAAGUUGCUCAAGAAGAGGGGAAUCUUGCAUAUUGGACCAAGUGAAAGAUCUGCCCUUAAUAGGUAGUUCUAGUAAGCCCAGAUGACCAAUAAUUUCAUUGAAGAUGAACAUAUCAUUUACAUCAGCCCCAAGGAGGUUUCUGUUGUCAGGUGAUCNNNNNNNNNNNNNNNNNNNNNNNNNNNNNNNNNNNNNNNNNNNNNNNNNNNNNNNNNNNNNNNNNNNNNNNNNNNNNNNNNNNNNNNNNNNNNNNNNNNNCGUAGAAAGAGAGUGGUUGGCGUCCCUUUUAUGGGCGAUGCGGUUCAGGAUCCGCCAUGGCCGUGGAUUAUACUAACUUGUUGGUACGAAAGCAAAACUGGCUCGGGCAGAGGUGGGGUGGGGUGGGGUGGCUUGGGUCGAAAGGUUUUGUUGCUGUCGGGGCUUCGAUGGAAUGGUUAAGGUUGACGUGCAGCGGAUGGAAUUAGCAGCGAUCGCCCGCUGACUAGUAAGGCCUACGCUACGCAGUACGCACGCAUGCAACGGUCUUGUUGCGCAGCCAUUGCCAAGCUUGAGCGAUGAGCGGCUCUAGUGUAUGUACACUAUCUUAUCUCUCGUUUUAACAUCCUUCAUGUUGCAGUAGGGUAUGUAACAUGGACGGCGGUGCGACAAGGUGAAGGCUCAAGGAUUUAUUUUUCUAUCCUAUAAAUACAUGGUAUGCUUUUAAUUUGUACUCCUAAAAAUUACACAUGUGAAUACUAGUGAAUGUCUUUAUAAACUUUGUCAACAGCUAAAAUACCGUAUGAUUUCAAGCCAUAGAAAUAGAAUGGAUAUCAUUUCUACCCGCUGAGAUGACAUGAAUGAAAACACACCUUAUUUAGAAAUUUCCUCAUCAGCGUCCCCAAUUAUAAACACCGAAUUAACACAAUAUGCAUGUUUUACCAUCCUCCGCUCAAGGCAUCUUCAACGCUAACCCGCAAAUUUACUUCGGCAUCUGUCCACGGAGGGGGCGGAUCAGUCCGUACACACUGAUGCGAGAGGCCGUCAUACAACAAUAUCCGCAUACAAUCCAACCACUCGUCAAAUCAAAUGGAAGAAAUUCAUGUAAACAUGACAUAUCUCAUAUAAACUGCAAGAUAUUCAUGCACACACGAUGGAUUUCAUAUAAAUCGGACGGAAUUCAUUACAUUUCAGGUAUACUUUAACUGAAAGCGGAGCUCAUCCGACUCUAGAGGUAUAAUUUUAGAAAUACUUCAAACAAUCACCUAAACUAAAUGAUCGUUGGCACGUGUUCCCCAUGUUCGUCCAUGAGUCCCGAGAACUGAAGCUCAGGCACUUGCCUUCGCGUUCUCCAGUUCGGCAUCGACGCUCCCCAGAUGUGCCUCCGCAGCCUUCGACACCAACGCUUGAGUGGCUAAUCGGCUGGCGAUUUUCGGCCUCGCAAGCUUGGUUUCAGCCGGGACGUGUUGAAAUAUGCCCUAAUGGCAAUAAUAAAUGAUUAUUAUUAUAUUUUCUUGUUCAUCAUAAAUAUUUAUGAUUCAUGCAAGAAUUGUAUUGAUCGAAAACUUAAAUACAUGUGUGGACACAUAACAUCAUUGUGUCNNNNNNNNNNNNNNNNNNNNNNNNNNNNNNNNNNNNNNNNNNNNNNNNNNNNNNNNNNNNNNNNNNNNNNNNNNNNNNNNNNNNNNNNNNNNNNNNNNNNCACCCUCUAGAAGAACCUAACCUCCGUGCUAUCUUCACAAUCAUGGCUUCCCGCAUGAUUUUUUUUGGUGUGUUGUGUUGUUUUUUAUGUAAGUGUAAUUCAGAUACGCUUUGUAGCAUCUAAAUGGCCGUCUUGCUCAUUGGCGGAUGUGCGCUCGGGACGUGAUGAACUUCUGUCUUACUUGUCCCAGCGAUAACACUUGAACUUCCCCGGGUGCUAGGUUGAACUUCUGCUAAAAAGUGUACAAAUGGGGCUCGCGAUAUACCGUUGGAAAGCUAUGGACACCCUCGUAACAUCCUAGGUUGAAUUUUUUGUCAAAGUUUACACGGUUGAAGAGCAGUUUCAAAAACUAUUUUUCUUCAUACAAAAAACGCGAGUCACAUUUUUUAGCCUAUUUCUAAACCGUUUAUCGGAAUGAGGCAAAUGAGAUGGCAUUGGAUAGCUGCUACAAAUCCGCUCAUUUCAUAUGUUGAAAGUUUUUCCAAAUACCCUACGGUUAAAGAGGAAUUUAAAAAAUGGUGUAGUUUCUGAAACCGAACAGCUGCGUUCGUAUUUCGGGGUUAAUUUGAAGAAGGCCUGCCUAAUCAUCGCAAAUGAUAUGUUGUUGGAAAGUUUAUGAAAAUGCACACCUUUUCAUAUGAAAAGUUUCUUCCAACUAUAAACGGUUUAAAAAUAAUUUAGAAAAUGGCCAAAGUUGUAUCGAGUUUGUAUUUUUGCGUUAAUUCCUCAAUGGUUUGUCGGAAUGGAGCAAAUGGUACAGCGUUGGAAAGCUUGAGAAAAUGCGAAACUUUUAUAUGUAGAUUGUUUUUUACAAUUUUUUACUGUUUGAAUUCAAUUUAAAAAAUAGCUAAAACAUUUUUUGGCCGUAUUUUUUACAAAAUCUAUCGGAAUGGGGCAAAUAAUAUACCGUUGAAAAGCUACGGAAAAUACAAAACUCUUUCUUGUAGAUAGUUUUCUCUAAUUACUAGCCGUUUUCAAGAAAUCCUGAAAACAACGAGAUCAUGUGUUCUCCCUUUAGCGCGAAACAAAGUGUUCGAAAAUGCACCGAGUGAAUAACUUGAACUUCUUGGCUUGUCUACUUGCACUUUAGUCUGUUUUUCACGUGUUGUUUUGUGCUCGUAACUCUCCAUCAACUUAUUGGAAUUGAACAUGUGAUAUACCGAAGGAACGCUGCUGUAAAGGCACAACUUUUCCAUGUUGAUUAUUUUUUCAUACUCGCGAUGGUUUAAAAGAUUUUCAUCUCAAUUUCAUUGAGUGUAGUAGUUGAAUUUUCCGCUGUUUUUGUUAAACUUCUGUCGCGUAUUUUGUUUUGUAAUUUCUCAUCGAUUCGUCGGUGUUACACAAAUGAUAUUCCUUUUGUACAAACCUCUCUCAUGAUAAUUAUUUAACUUUCUCCGACCAAGGACUUGAACUUAUAGCAACACGAAAUUUGGACCUUGCCUUUUUAUUCAUUUUUCUCAUAUUAAACACACACCAUGUAGUAGGUGAAUUUCUCUGUUUUUAUAACUUUAAAAUUUUAUUUCCUUUUUGAAAUCAUAUUGUGUAACACCCCAGAUGUAAUCNNNNNNNNNNNNNNNNNNNNNNNNNNNNNNNNNNNNNNNNNNNNNNNNNNNNNNNNNNNNNNNNNNNNNNNNNNNNNNNNNNNNNNNNNNNNNNNNNNNNUGUAUGUAUGCUCAAAUAACACAAGUAAACCACAAGUAAGGAGUUAGGGUUAAGGAUAACCAAGGUCACUGAGACAAAGAUGUAUCCUGAUGUUCACGACUUUCCGCGGUUCUAUCAAUUGCUCGACAGUAAUUUGUUCACCCACCGUCUACUUGCUUUCAUGAGAGAAGCCACUAGCAAACACUACGGUCCCCGGGUCUAUUCACAUCUAUCGUUUACACCUCCACUUUUACUUUGCUUUGUUACUUUGUUGCUUCCAGUUCUCACUUGGCGAACAAUCUAUAAGGGUUGACAACCCCUUUCUAGCGUUGGGAGCAGGUUUUUUGUGUUUGUGCAGGAUCUUGUGAUACUCCUCCACUGGAUUGAUACCUUGGUUCUCAAACUGAGGGAAAUACUUACCACCGCUGUGCUACAUCACCCUUUCCACUUCGAGGGAACACCAACGCAAGGCUCCAUAGCCGUAGAAGAAGGAUUCCUGGUGCCGUCGACACGACUAUUCCUGUCGCCGUUGCCGGGGAAGCACAUCUGACAUCAGAAGUAUUUCUGGCGCCGUUGCCAGGGAGAAUCAAGACAAGAACAGUCUCCCGUCAGCACGUGUUUCUGGCACCGUUGGAAGGUCUUUUGUUGCAGUAGCAGAAGUAUUUCUGGCGCCGUUGCCGGGGAGGAGAGAUCAAGAUCUAUCCAAGUAGGUCUCACAAACUCAUCUCCUACAUUUACUUUUUUGCCAGUUGCCUCUCGUUUUCCUCUCCCCCACUUCACAUUUGUCGUUUUCAUUCGCCUUUUUCCUUUGCCUUUCUCUUUUGCCAUUUUCUUUUGCCCAUUUCAUUCUCUCUUCCUGCUCGUUUGUGUGUGAGAUUGUCCAUCAAUGGCUAGACAAGAACAGUCUCCCGUCAGCAUGUGUUUCUGGCGCCGUUGGAAGGUCUUUUGUUGCAGUAGCAGCGGGCAAUGCGAUAGUGCCACCCGUGCAGUUCAAUAGCUCCCCAACGGCGAGCGACACCGAAUUUUUACCUCUGUCCCAUGUUGCUCUGGUUUCCACGGGCGAUGAAGGUCAAACGACGGAGCUCACCCCCGUGCAGUUUCAGAAAAAUAUUUUUACUCCUUUUAAUUCUGGAUGGAUUUUGGAUGUGCAAUGCAGUGUAAUGCACCUUUUUGUCUAUUUCAGAUUUGUUUGUACAGUGCAGUGUAAUGCGUUUCUCUGCUUGGGGUCGUGUGGUGCAGUUCGGUCGGGUCCUCUUGACCCGCGAGGUUGCAGGUUGCGACGUGCGGAUAAGGGGAUCAUGCGGUUUCCGUGAGCAUUUUUGCAGUUUUAAUGGAUGGAUGUUUCAAUGUGUUUUUUUUGUUGUGUCUAUGAAGAUGUAUGCAUGUUUGUAUUUCUUGUACCCAUGGAGAUGUAUGCAUGUUUGUAAGAUGGGUGUGCCCCCAAAAAUGAUGCAGUUCAAUAAUCUUGACCAUGUGGUCCACAUCCGGCUACAAAAAAAGUUAGUGACGGGGAUAUAGCCCUAGGGUAGUUUCAUAGGUCUGACCAAUACGUCCUACCCAAAGGCACCUCAUUAUUAGUUUAAGGACUACAAGGGAAAUUCNNNNNNNNNNNNNNNNNNNNNNNNNNNNNNNNNNNNNNNNNNNNNNNNNNNNNNNNNNNNNNNNNNNNNNNNNNNNNNNNNNNNNNNNNNNNNNNNNNNNUGUAUGUAUGCUCAAAUAACACAAGUAAACCACAAGUAAGGAGUUAGGGUUAAGGAUAACCAAGGUCACUGAGACAAAGAUGUAUCCUGAUGUUCACGACUUUCCGCGGUUCUAUCAAUUGCUCGACAGUAAUUUGUUCACCCACCGUCUACUUGCUUUCAUGAGAGAAGCCACUAGCAAACACUACGGUCCCCGGGUCUAUUCACAUCUAUCGUUUACACCUCCACUUUUACUUUGCUUUGUUACUUUGUUGCUUCCAGUUCUCACUUGGCGAACAAUCUAUAAGGGUUGACAACCCCUUUCUAGCGUUGGGAGCAGGUUUUUUGUGUUUGUGCAGGAUCUUGUGAUACUCCUCCACUGGAUUGAUACCUUGGUUCUCAAACUGAGGGAAAUACUUACCACCGCUGUGCUACAUCACCCUUUCCACUUCGAGGGAACACCAACGCAAGGCUCCAUAGCCGUAGAAGAAGGAUUCCUGGUGCCGUCGACACGACUAUUCCUGUCGCCGUUGCCGGGGAAGCACAUCUGACAUCAGAAGUAUUUCUGGCGCCGUUGCCAGGGAGAAUCAAGACAAGAACAGUCUCCCGUCAGCACGUGUUUCUGGCACCGUUGGAAGGUCUUUUGUUGCAGUAGCAGAAGUAUUUCUGGCGCCGUUGCCGGGGAGGAGAGAUCAAGAUCUAUCCAAGUAGGUCUCACAAACUCAUCUCCUACAUUUACUUUUUUGCCAGUUGCCUCUCGUUUUCCUCUCCCCCACUUCACAUUUGUCGUUUUCAUUCGCCUUUUUCCUUUGCCUUUCUCUUUUGCCAUUUUCUUUUGCCCAUUUCAUUCUCUCUUCCUGCUCGUUUGUGUGUGAGAUUGUCCAUCAAUGGCUAGACAAGAACAGUCUCCCGUCAGCAUGUGUUUCUGGCGCCGUUGGAAGGUCUUUUGUUGCAGUAGCAGCGGGCAAUGCGAUAGUGCCACCCGUGCAGUUCAAUAGCUCCCCAACGGCGAGCGACACCGAAUUUUUACCUCUGUCCCAUGUUGCUCUGGUUUCCACGGGCGAUGAAGGUCAAACGACGGAGCUCACCCCCGUGCAGUUUCAGAAAAAUAUUUUUACUCCUUUUAAUUCUGGAUGGAUUUUGGAUGUGCAAUGCAGUGUAAUGCACCUUUUUGUCUAUUUCAGAUUUGUUUGUACAGUGCAGUGUAAUGCGUUUCUCUGCUUGGGGUCGUGUGGUGCAGUUCGGUCGGGUCCUCUUGCCACCCUCGAGGUUGCAGGUUGCGACAUGCGGAUAAGGGGAUCAUGCGGUUUCCAUGAGCAUUUUUGCAGUUUUAAUGGAUGGAUGUUUCAAUGUGUUUUUUUGUUGUGUCUAUGAAGAUGUAUGCAUGUAUAUAUUUCUUGUACCCAUGGAGAUAUAUGCAUGUUUGUAAGAUGGGUGUGCCCCCAAAAAUAAUGCAGUUCAAUAAUCUUGACCAUGUGGUCCACAUCCGGCUACAAAAAAAGUUAGAAAAAACAACAAAGUAAUGAGGUUCACUUCAACUCAUGUUGGGGUUCACUUCCUCAUUUGAUGUGGUUCCGUCGCAGUCCACUCUUGUUCAUAAAAAGUUAGAAUAAAUGACAAAGCAGAAAUAAUGAAGUUCGCUUGACCGUGUGAUGAAGUGCGGCUUUCCGUCAAAAAGGAGUGCGCUCUUCUAUCCGAUGUGAUUCACGCAUCGGUUUUUGUAACGUGAAAAACAGAGUGUCCGUGUUUCGGUAAAACCAAAACUGCUCUUCAAUAGUAAGGAAUAAGAGAGAGAGAGAGUUCUACGUAAAAAAAGAUGUGCUUCAUCGAUACCUUUCCAACGUCGUAUCAUUUGCAUCGUUCUGGCAAGCGGUUUGGAAAAAUAUAUGAAAAUAAGCUUGCUGCAACUCAUAGGCAGUCGCGCCGUUUUUAAAAUUCAUUUAAAACCGUAUGGAAUCUCAACAAGUGGUCAGUUUAUGAAAGUUGUGCUUAUUCCACUGUUUUUCAACGCUGUAUCAUACACCUUGUUCCGACAAACACUUUUAAAACUGCACCAAAAAACGUAUAGAAAAAACUAAAAAAAUUAAAAAAUAAAAUUCCGUUUUUAAAUAANNNNNNNNNNNNNNNNNNNNNNNNNNNNNNNNNNNNNNNNNNNNNNNNNNNNNNNNNNNNNNNNNNNNNNNNNNNNNNNNNNNNNNNNNNNNNNNNNNNNCUGCCUGCUUCGUCGUCGCCACGUGCGGCCUCCAGCGCCGGCCGCUUCAUCGUUGACACGCGCGGCUCUGGCACCGCCCGCUUCGUCGUAACCAUACGUGGCCGCCGGCGUCGUCUGCUUCAUCGACUUCUCCAACUUCGUUGUUAUUGAGCACACACACAACCGUCAAUGCCGUUCGUCUCGUCGUCGACUCCGGCCUCGUGUUAUCGGCUGCUCGGCGGCAACCUUCGCGGUUGAGGCUCAAGGCCGAGCCGACGCAGGCACACAACGCUCCUUCCUCCUUCACCAGUCGUCGGCAAGGGUCUCAUGAGUCGAGGCGCGCUGUGAUGACAACCUACGAAUCAGCCUUGAUCUGUAACGGGUAGCCGGUCAAUGCCUUGUAAGUGCAUGCAUUACGUGGGUCUUUUACUUGAUUAAUUCACCGCAUGCAGAAAAAUGGUAACGGAACGACGUGGCCGUUCAAUGCCUCGUAAUGGGCCUAAUGGCCUCAUUAAAUGGCUCAUAAGGUGAGGUACGAUCGCAUCAAUUUAGUAAUUGCUGCAUGCAAAACUUCCAUCACACUAUUUUCAGGAAUGGUUAAUAUUGCAUGCAUGCAAGUAUAACCAUCCGUGGUAUUUAUUCCUUGUAAAAUAGCAUCUAUUCUGGCACGUUUUGAUCCAGCAAAAUAUAUAUUCGUAGCUAUACUUGCUACUAACUUGCAGGGUCACUCGUUCGUCAUCGUCCCCGAACAACAGUUUAUUUGAACGGACUAUCUAUUCGAGUCAGACGCGUCAUCAUCACUCGGUCGCCCUGCAUGCCGUCGCUCAGUCGAAAGCAUCAUCAUCACUCGGCCGCUCUACGCGUCGUCGCUCGGUCGGACGCGCGUCGUUGCUUGGUCGGACGUGCGUUGUCAUCACUCGGCCGUCCUGCACAUCGUCGCUGAGUCAGACGUGCGCCGUCAUCAUUCGGCAGCUCCGCACAUCGCCACUCAGCCGGACGCUCCAUCGUCACCCGGACACUCCGCACGCCGUCACUCUACUGGACGCGUCGUCAUCACUCGGUAUCUCCGCACAUCGCCACUCAGCCGGACGCUCCAUCGUCACCCGGCCGCUCCGCGCGCCGUCACUCUACUGGACGCGUCGUCAUCACUCGGUAGCUCCGCGCAUCGCCACUCAGCCGGACGCGUCGUCAUCACUCGGCGGCCCUACAUGCUGUCACUCACUCGGAUGCGUCGUCAACGCUCGGCCGCCCUGCGCGCCGUCCCUCAGUGGGACCCGUCGUCAGCACUCGGUAGCUUCGCGCAUCGCCAGUCAGCAAGACACGCCAUCCUCACUCGGUUAGAGACUCCUUCGUCACUCGGCAGCUUCGUGUGCCGCCACUCGAUUGGACGCUCCUUCGUCACUCGGCAGCUUCGCGCGUCGUCACUCGGCUGGAGGCUCCUUCGUCAUCUGGUUGCUCUACGCGUCGUCACUCGGCCGCCCCGCGUGUCGCCACGCAGAUAGACGCGUAUUCAUCGCUUGACCGCCCAACAUGUCGCCACUCAGCCGGACGUGUCUACUUCGCUCGACCGCCCCACGCGUCGUCAGGCAGCUAAGUCAUUUUUCACAGACUGCAUUCUAUUAAAUAAUCGUUUCUACAUUACCGAGUGUCGAGGAAGUCGCACAUGACGUUCACUCGGAGGCCACGCCACCGAGUGUACCUAUGCACUAGGUUGUUUAUUUUUAUGUGGGAACACUUCACUUCCACUUCGUUUUGGUCCAGUACUCAAACGAGUUUAGUCGAAUGCUUCACUUGCAUAAGUACAGUCGGAUCCUGCACAAGUACAACCACGUGGCACACCCACCGGGUGUCUAUGGGUGCAAUUUACACAAACUAUUUCAGAAAAUAUCAUAUUACUUUGAUAAUUUUUUAUGUUGGCUUGUGCUAUUUUUCAUACACAGGUAACUCGACGCAUCCGUGCGCCAUCCUCGUCGCUGCUCAGGCUCAGUCGCCGCAACGAUCAUUCAUUCGUUUUCACGUGUUCGGAAGCCCUUUCAAUGACGUAGUGGACACGGCCGCCCCGCGUGCCGUCGGUGGGUCGGACGCCUCCUCGACAUACAUCACUUGGCCACCCCACGCGUUGCCACAUAGCCAGAAUCGUCUACCUCACUCGGAUGCCAUGGGCAUCGCCACUCCGUGUGGCACGUCUUCAUCAUUCGGCUGCCCUGCGCGCCACCGCUCAGCUUAGCUGCGACUCCAUAUCGCCUAAGUUAAAAACAACUCCGAGUGCGGACAUGCUCCACACUNNNNNNNNNNNNNNNNNNNNNNNNNNNNNNNNNNNNNNNNNNNNNNNNNNNNNNNNNNNNNNNNNNNNNNNNNNNNNNNNNNNNNNNNNNNNNNNNNNNNCCUAGAGGGAGAGUAGGCAAAUUUGUCAAAACGUUUAGGACAGAAACACUUGACUGUACGAAAAUCAAUAGACUGCAUUUUGGUUUCUUGCAAGCACACCACGGCAGCUAGGCUCUCAUCAAUCUUGUUACGAACCGCACGUUGUCUAUGGUCCGAAUUUAGGCCACGUACAUUCCAACACAGCACACGCCAACUUCUCGUAGAACGACUAUCCAUUGGACGAUAUAUAUAGAGCAAACGCAGGGAUAUGUAAUAGCCCUUGCAACCGAGGUUCAGUUAACCAAAAGAUAGAGCAAACAGUAGUCUGACAGUACAUGGAGCCAGUACAGCAACAAAUUAACAUAAGAGGACUAAUCAUCUGCAGAUGAAGGCGCGGGAUUAGCUGGAUCUUCCAUAAGACGAUCCACAGUCAGCUUCUCAGGGGUGAUGCCAAGCGUGUGCCCGAUCGCCUGAAUCACCGGAAUAGGAGUGGCAUGAGGAACUUGCACAUCAGCAGACUCCUGCGCUGGAAAAGGCAUUGGCUUGGCCUUGGACUUCCUCUUCUUGGGGGCAUGCACUGGUAGCUCCUGCAAAACCGGUUUGAAGCCAUCCCGCUUGAUGGAGCCGCGGGUACAUCGAUGAACAGAGGAGUCAACGACAGGAGUGGCCUUCUUACGGGUCCCUUUCUUCGUUGGAGCAGGAGAUGGAAAGGAGAAGGAGUCCUCUGCAGACAAAGAGGGGCUGACUGGGAUUACCUCAUCCAAGGAGAGUGUGUUGCUUGCUGGCUCUGGUGGUGGCAGCGCUGGGGCAGCAGUAUCGAAAGCCACCGCCCAGGAUCGCUUGGGGAUCACAAUGGGCAUCACCAUUGGCAUCUGCAGCUGGUGAGGGACAUGCAUGGAGGUAGCAGCUCCCAUGAAAGCAUCAAAAGUUCGGGACCAGGAUAGUACUGGCGGUAGAGGAGGCCCAUAAAAAACCCUGGCAGCCCCAACAAAAAGAUUGUCAGACUGAACCUGCGGGAGUUUGUACGGGACGAUCGCCAGAGGAUUGUCGUGCUACGCCUCAUCCUCCCCUUGCACAUCUUCCUCCGGCUCCGCAGCAGGGGCCUGAACAACCGGUGCCAUAUCAGCGUCACGGGCGGCAGGGUCAGCAGCCAUUACCACAUCCAGGUUGGGAGCAGGGGGAGCAAGAUCAGCAGGUUCUGCCUCAAUGUCACCCUGCGGCUGAGGGUCUAGGUCGACAUAUUGUUGGAGGGAUGCGAAUGUGAGCUUCUUACGAACUGAUGAUCCAGUUUUAAGAGAAGAUUUUAGAGGUCUGGAAUGCAUUGCCAUCAAACCUAGUGAGGCUCUCCUCUUAGAUGGACUCACAAUAAUCCAUUCAGCAUCACAUUGUUUCUUCCACAGAGGGAAUUCCCGACGCCAACCGGACCACCAUGUCCCCAUAGAUGGAAGAAGCACUUAAAAUUUGAGCAUUUGAACGAGCGCAAGUCCAAAAUAUGAAAACCAACUUGCAUGCAGGACACUUUGAAGGAGAAAACCGAAUCUGUAACUUGCGAGACGCGAAACUCAAUGGUAGAGCCCCCAAUCACAGAUUCUAGAGCUGCGGCGACCGUGUCCUCAGAGAGACGGAACACAUGACGACCAAAAGAAACCACCAUGAUGAAGGAGCGGUGGUGCUUCAUAGGGUGCACCGUAACACCAGAAUGACGAUAAACCUCAUCGGCGAAGGCCAAACCAUGAGAAAAAUCCAGAUCCAACGUGGAACCACCCAUGCAAGCCAUGCACGACCACGUGUGGGGGGUCGGGAGGGUUCACCUGAGCAGAAGAGCGGCGAGGAGGCUGGAUACGCCGGCUAGAGCACCAGAUCGCCAUGGGGUCACCGAGGUGGGAGGUGGGAGUCGCCAUCUAUUCCACAUGAAAGAAGUUACAAAGGACAAAUAUGCUCCUCAAAAGGGGUAGUUAUCCAAAGGGAUACGAAAACUUCCACCUUCAUGUGCAUUGAAUAGUUAGAGAAGUUUGAUUCAUCUCAAUUAGUUUUGAGUUGUGGAUAUGGUAAUAUUGAAGUUAUGCUAGUAAGGUGUUGUGGAUCUAGAAAUACUUGUGUUGAAGUUAGUGAUUCCUGUAGCAUGCACGUAUGGUGAACCGCUAUGUGAUGAAAUCUGAGCAUGAUUAGUCUAUUGAUUGUCAUCCUUUGCGUGGCGGUCGGGAUCGCGCGAUGGUUUAUACCUACCAACCCUUCCCCUAGGAGUAUGCGUUGAAUGCUUUUGUUUCGAUUACUAAUAAAACUUUUGCAACAAGUAUAUGAGUUCUUCAUGACUAAUGUUGAGUCCAUGGUUUAGAUGCACUUUCACCUUCCACCAUCACUACCUUCUUAGUGUCGUGCAACUUUCGCCGGUGCACAAAAACCACCAUUAGCCUCCCUCAAAACAACCACCAUACCUACCUACUAUGGCUUUUUCAAAGUCAUUACAAGAUAUAUUGCCAUGCAACUACCACCGUGACAUGUGCCAUCACGUCUACAUUGCCAUUGCAUGAUCGUAAGAUAGCUAGCAUGAUGUUUCCAUUAAUGUCUAUGCCAUGCUAGAUCAUUGCCACGGUACACUAUCGAAGGCAUUCCAUAUAGAGUCAUAGUNNNNNNNNNNNNNNNNNNNNNNNNNNNNNNNNNNNNNNNNNNNNNNNNNNNNNNNNNNNNNNNNNNNNNNNNNNNNNNNNNNNNNNNNNNNNNNNNNNNNGAGCGUUUAGAUCACUACUUUAGUGAUCUAAACGCUCUUAUAUUAGUUUACGGAGGAGGUAUGUCUUUCUUGGGGAAAAUAAGAUAAGUAUGUGGCAUAAUAGGGCUAACUAGCAUGUACGAAGCUAAGUAUGCAUUUGUUAAUAGGACUUCCAAUUUUUCAAGAAUCGCUCCCCUCUUUAGAUUCACUGCAUACCCAUCGGGGAACAUCAACUGCAUUUUGACCCACAAGAUAAUUUCCCUCAUAACUUCCCUUUUUAGAUUGAACCAGACCUUUGGCUUCGACUAGUUCUGCUUUCCUUUAUAUUGUCGCAUGUUUUGUAACGGUCUAUCAAAUAGAUUCUGCUGAUCGACUCUAGCCUUAGGAUUAUCAUUUGAUUUCUCCUCUAUGCCGAACAAUGUACCAAAUAUGGACUCUUCGAUAUUAUUUUCAGUGUGCGUCAUGUCGAUUUUGUGUGAAAGAAGGAGGUCUUUGAAGUAAGACAGAUCCCACAAGUAUGUCUUGUGAGUCGAGGCGUGUUUCGAAUUAUACCCCUUGAAAUACCCUGGAUGCUCCGGAUAGGGCUCAAGAGCGUUUAACUGAUCUAGGAUCUGUUGUCCUGUCAACGCAGGUGGUGCUGAGUUUUUGACAACUUUACCUUUGAUAAAGUUCUUCUUGUCUUUUCUGAACUGAUGGCGAGGAUCGAGGAACUGUCUUGCAAGUCAAAGAAAGAAUACUUCCGACCCACUGCAGCCAAUGAAACUGAAGACCUGCCUUGCAUGUGGGGCACGGGAACCUUCCAUGCACACACCAGCUAGCGAAUAGCGCAUACGCCGACAAGUAAUGCAUCAAGUACAUGUACCACACAUGCAUUUUGAAGUUUUCUUUUCUAGUGGCGUUGUAUGUCUUGAAUCAAUUAUCACACGCUUCUUGCAAUUCAUCCUUAAGAGGCUUCAUGUACACAUUCAUAUUCUUCCCCGCAUAGUUCGGCCCUGGAAUAUCAACGUCAGGAAUAUGUUCUUUCUUUCCAUAAUCUGUCCGGGGGGAAUCGAGUGGAAUGAAAAAUACAAACCAACUACUGUAUUGGGUUGCCGUCAUACCAAAGGGAUUGAGCCCAUACUUGUGAACACAGACUCGAGGAUGCCUUGGAUCUGCCGCUUUAUCCGGAUGUAAUGCAUCGAAGUGCUUCCACGCUUCCGCUUCCGAUGUGUGUACAAAAAUCUUAUUCCCAUCUGCAUCUAGUUCGAUUCUUUUGCCCAAUUUGUGCCAUGUCAUCUAUCUGGCCGUCUCUUCGACCAUGAAAAGACGUUGAAGUCUUGGUAUGAUUGGCAUAUACCGAAGAACAUUAACUGGGAUUUGGUCUGCCUCUUCUCACCCAUACCGUUGUCUACCACAACAUACCUGGAAGACUUGCAAAUGGGACAAUAGUUAAAAUCCACAUACUCAGGCCUAAAUAAGGUACAUCCUUUCUGACAGGCAUCUAUCUUAUCAUUGGGCAUCUUAAGUAAGCAGAGUAUUUUGUUCCACUGGUACAGGUUUAUAGGCAUGCCAUGGCCUUUGGGAAGAAAGCGUCCAAAUAGUGUCAUCAUCGCGUCAUAGCAUUCUCUGUCCAAGUUGAAUUGAGCCUUCAGAGCCAUUACUUGUGCGAUGGCAUCCAGCUGCCAAAGCUCAGUGUGCUCGUGGAGAGGAUGUUUUCAAGACUCCAACAUUUCAUAGAAGGCCUUUGCAGAUUCCUCCAUCUCAUCGUCUGAAUCCCGAGCAUCAUCAAAGUCUUGCAACAUGUCUUCGAUCCCGGUACCAUGCUCGUCGGUGCGAUGACGAACCACCUCAGCUCUGGUACGUUGGGCAGACUCACCAUGAAAUUUCCACACCGUAUAAUCAGAUGUAAACACCCUCUUCUGUAGGUGUUUACCCAUUUCAUCGAGUGUCCUCUUUUUAAAGUAGUCGCACCCAGGACAGGGGCACCAGGUUUUUCUCUCGCCAUUUGCAAAUGCGGCUUUCACAAACUCCUUGCUUUUUGUUAACCAUUCUUUGGUCAUCUCUUUCUAACUAGUGCGACCGGUGUACAUCCACACACGAUCACUCAUCUUGCCUAGCUACUAAACACACAAGAAAUAUAUAUUAAUUCAGCAUAUAUAUUCAUGAGUUAAUCAAGAUUGUCAGUUUUAUUACGUCCAUGCAACCUACACGCUAAUAGGUAAAGAUAUGUCCUAAUUCCACCCGAGUAUGUGUAGAUUGGGUUCGUUUUCCCAUGCUCUGCUCCGGAUCCGAUGCAAAAUUUCGACUGCACCUCCCCGCCCUUCUCCUGAUAUACGUCUCGACAAUAAACAGAGAGGAUGUGUACCCGGAGUACAACAGAGAGGCACUGACCAAAUUAUGCAUCGGAUUCGGAGUAGAGCAUAUGGGAAAAUGAAUCCAAUCUAUAGAUACUCGAGUUGUCCAUGGAUAACGUUGGACAAUUUGAAAGAAUCAUGGUUAUAAAUACAUGCAAAUGCAUGCAUAUUUAUAAUUGUAACCCUUUCGAAUGGGAGACGCAUACUGGUCACGCAGACUAAUGAUGUCAUUUUUGCUAACCCAUGAACGCAGGGGCGGAGCUCGUUGAAAGCAUGGGGAGGUCGUUGAACACUAGACCCUCGCAGUGACGAAACAAUUGUACAUUUAAAUCCACCCAAUCAACACAAAUAUGAUGUUUUUAUAACAAAAUCAGAAAAUAAAUGGCCUAACUCAUAAUUUACAAAACUAUGACCCCGUCGGCAUCUGGAAGGCCGAAGAGCACCUUUAUGGUCAACAGGAAUCCGAAGAGGAGUCGGGGGUUGGGGUGAGUGGCGUCGGGAGCGACGUAUUAACAGCUCCACGGGGGAUUGGAAUGUCGAUCUAUCAGUGGCAUCUUCCCAUCACCACAUGUAGGCGCAGGUGCCUAGNNNNNNNNNNNNNNNNNNNNNNNNNNNNNNNNNNNNNNNNNNNNNNNNNNNNNNNNNNNNNNNNNNNNNNNNNNNNNNNNNNNNNNNNNNNNNNNNNNNNCAUAGGUAAUACCUACCAUAUGUACCCACAAAGUGAAUACCGCAACAAGAAUCAACAUUGCCAUUACCUUGUUUGGAGGUAAAUCAACCAGAUAGGUGGUAGUUUCCCUCCUAUCAUCUUAGAUAUGGAGGGAAAAAUCAUGGAUCAAGAAAUGGGGAUUAUGCGGAAACAAAGCAAUAUGUUGGAAAUGUGACUGCCUAAUCUCCAUUUUCUGUGACUACCUUUUUUAUGAAGUACAUUUCCAUUUGCCGAAACAAAUUUGUGAACAUAUCAGAUCAAAACUUGAUUGAUUCUGUGACUGCCCUUUUUAUGAAGUACAUUUGCAUUUGCAUCCUUCUUUAUCUUCUAGAACAAAUAAGGCGGGAGUUAACACAAAAUUAUAUGCUACAACCAUGUUAUCUGGCUUCUAGUGGAGGCCUGGAUGAACAGUAUGAAGAGAUUAAGUUUUCUUCUUAAAACUGCCUGACUCUACGAACUCUUCCUGUAGAAAUGACCAGAGCAGUUCAAUAUAUUUGAUAUCCAACAGUUGUAAUGCUGAAUAUUAAAUAAAUGUUUGUACAUGGUUGAUAGUGCGACCAAGUAAUUUAAGGAUAAGCCAAGUAACUUGACAAUUUUGUUCACAUCAAAAGCUAUCUAUAUACUACUAUAUAUUUGAUAUUGUUGUGCUCAUAGACUUUUGUUCAAAUUAUUUACAGAGGAAGACGACGAUUAGCUAUUCAAAUUUGUUUGGCGACAACCGGGCUUUCUGCAGUUUGCAUUGGUCAGAGAACAUCCAUGUGUAGUUUCUGUAUGAAGACUGUCUCGCGUUUCAUCUGCGGUAGUGUAAUAAACUGAUGUUUUACUAUGCUCGGGUUGUCCGGGAGACCAUUUACGGUACUUGAAUCUGAUUGAUUACCCUCUCUAAAGCAUUUUUAUUCAAGUUCAAAUGAUGACAUCAUCCAUACCCUCUUUUGAUUGUGCAAAGCAAAUGAUCAACUUAUCUACCUACCUCAUUCUUUUUGGUGUCGCUGCUAGGCAGGACGUUCUUGAGGGAUCUCAAUGAUGACUGGCAAAUUUUGUUUUUGAACUAUUUUUAUUUCUUAGAAAUUUGCAUCGCUUGUACGCAC